UUUUUUGAUGUUAUUAUGUAAACAAAUUAUAAGUAAAGAUUAUAUUUUGUUGGUAAAUAAAAUAACUAGAUAUUAUUUUAAAAUACAUAAAGAGAUUUAUUAAUGUAUAUUCACUUUUUUUAAUACAUUAAUAAAUUAUUACUAGAAAUCAUCUUAAAAUAUAUUUACAGUAUAACUUGCUAUCCAAGGACAGAGCCUUAAAUUUCAUUUGAAGAGAGCCAAGAAAAAAAUGCAUAAUUUAAUAAAAAAAAAUAUUUUUUCAUAUACAUAAAAUAUACAAAAAAGUUUCAUAUAUUAUAUAUCUAAUAUUUAUGAUUUUUUUAAACGUGUGUGUAACUAAUGACUAUAAAUAAAAAAUAUAUAACUAUCACAAACACUCAAUUAAUGACUAAUUUUUUUAUCUAGCUUUUUUCACCGCAUCAUGUUACCUAUUAUAUUUAUUUACACUUUCGUCUCUCCUUCCCUAUGUAUCAACUAAAAAAAUAAUAUAAUAUUAUAUAUUACAAAUUAAUAUUUUUAUUAAAAUAAUAUUAUUUAUAAACAUGUUUUUUACUAGGUUUUUUAGAAGUUCAAAGCUUUACUUACUAAACUAAAAAUGUUUUUUCUUUAAAUAAAACUUAGUCUACCUCUUUUUUCUAAAUAGGCUAGGCCCAAAUAAGCUUUAAAUGAAAACACAACAACAAUAUUAUGAAUAUAAAAAAAUGCAAAAAACAGGGACUAAAUCUAUAUGUUUUUUAGAAUUUAAGAUCAAAUUUAUUGUUGUGAAAAUAUAAGAAUUUUGAUCGUUUGACUUGAAUGUAAUGAUUAAAAACAUAUUUUUUGAAGAAAAAAAUAUUUUUCCAUAAUAAUAAUAUUAAAAAUAUCAGUCGUUACUUUUAGUUAACGAUUACAAUUUCAUAUUUUAUCAUAUCUAAAGUGCAUGAGUGCAUAGUGUUAUUAUUUUAUAAUAUUUGGUUUUGAUUUGACUGUAUUGUGAUGGGUUUCCUUGACAUAAACUCAUUUUUUUGGUAGUGCCUUAACUCAAUCUCAUAUACUAAUAUGUCAAAUUUAAAUGAUGACUACCGUCUAAUUGACACAGACAAAUAGUUACAUAAUUUGAACCAAAAUAUCCAAAUGACUAAAAUAUCAAUUUUAAGUGCUUAGUUUAACUAUGACAUAUUGAGUUUAAAAGCUUUUGCACUCUUAAUCACGGAUUGACAAAAUCAUUUGUCAAGCAUGUUUAAGUAAUCGUAUUAAAGGUGUCAUAUCAUAUCACUUUAUCAGUGAGUUAAAAUUAAGCAUAUAUACCUCAUUUUGCCCAUUUGGCACUACUUGUGCUUUAAUUUCAAUAAAUAUGAUUUGCACCGUGCUAGUUACUUAUGGAAGGGAAAUAUACUACACGAGUUGGGCUGCUCAGGUUGAGUUUCUACGCACUGCAAUAGUUCUCUCAAGAUGAAAAUGCUCCACACAUCGGAAAUGAUGAGUUUCCCUUGUGUAUAAGAGUUCUUAUACACAAUUGAAACCUGUUUCUGUUGUAUUAGUAGGAGGCGUGAAUUCAAAAAUAUACAACGGAAAUGAAUUCAAAAAAUAACACAAUGAAAAUAAGUUUCUAUAUUAAGUUUUUUUUAAUUCUUUUUUCUUAAAAAUAUUCAUACAACAGAAACAUCCGUUGUGUUAAUUUUAGUCAAUGAAACAUGUUUCCACCGGAGGUAUUUUUAGCUAAAUACCAAAAGAUAUUAUUUUCUUUUUACUGGUUUGGGAAUUUAAAUAGCAAUACAGAGGUUGCCAAUAGCAUAUCUGAUCCCUUCUCAAGUGCGUGGGGGUGGCAAUGGCACUUGAAGCCUUAGAAUGGGCUUACGUACGGAGAAAAUGGGUUUUUCGUUUUCCUUGGAUACAUACAAGACUAUAAAGAAGUCACCAGAUCCAAUCUGAAAAAGAAACGCAAUAAUGAAAAUAAGAAAAAGAUUGACACAGUUUCAUAACUAUCUUUUCAUGGAACAAGAGAUCUUAAAUUAAGAGGUCACUUCUCUCAGGAAGAUCAUGUUGGAAUCUCCCAACUUUAUUCUCUCAAGUUGAGAAAAUUAUCUGUCAUCUCUCAUUCUCCUUAUUGACAAUAGCCAAGAUUAUACGUAGUAUUUAUGCAGCACUAUUGCAUAAUAAUGACUGCGUUUUGUGUUCUUUAACGAGUACAGACUCGUUGGAUCACCAUAUUCAAGGCCAUAACGUUUUGAAUCUCUGUCAUCCCUCUCUGUUGUCAUCAUUUGAAGUCAUCAAACCUAUACUUGUUAAUAUCUAUCCAAUGGUUGGUGUGACGUUUGGUUAGCUUUGUACAACACUGGUUGUGUUCAGUUGCUGCUAGUGAAGUUGGCUUAAGAGGUGAGUGAUGAGAGCUUCUAACCUAGAGCUAGCAGUGAGUGUGUGAGAAGAGUGAUUGUUGAAAAAAAUGAGGUGCCAUAUAACUAUAUAAGUGUGUGUUGGCUGUGAGUGAAAAAGACAACUAUUAGCCAGAUACCAUGUGGUGUGUGUAUAUAUUUGGAGAUACAUAAGCCUAGUCUAGUGGCCAAGGAAGAAGAAAAAUGAAGAGAUAUUAUGUCUUUCAAUUUUUUCACUAACAAAAAUUAAUAUUAUUACUGAUUAAAAUUUACCGAUGAAAAACAACUCUGUGGUGUGUGCUGGAGAUAAAAAAAAAAAAAAAGUCAUUAUCUGGACAUGAUAUUAAACACUAAUGCUGCCAGUAAAAUAGUCAAGCAUGAAAACACCAAGUCACGUGGCCUUUAAUUGGCUCAAAAUAGAAUCAAAGAGCUCUCUAUUGCCUUUUGUUUUUUGUUGUUUGUAAUUUUUAAUUUUUAUAAAAAAAAGGUAAAUAAAGUAAAAGAAAUAUUUUUAAUUUUUAAUUCUUUUUAAUUGAUACAAAAGGGAAACGUUCAUUGAAGCAAAUAAAAAAAGGUUUUAAUCAUUUUUUUCAUUCAAGAAAUUAAAUAAAGAUCAAGUGAUAUAAAAAGAGUCAAAUUGGACGUUCACAUUUUUUUUUUGUUUUGAAUGUAAAUAUUUUUUUCCUUUCCUUGAAAUAAUUUUGUUGUUGUAUUUUAUAUAUAGAUUUUCUUCUUUUUAUAUUUUUAUCAUAGACGAAAUUGAGUAAUAGUAAAAAUAAAAAAUAUUUAAUUUUUUUCUCCCUCUUCAUUUAUUGUGGAAUAUUAAUUACUACCCUCUUUUUUCUUAAUCCGACAUCCUGUACGAUUGAACACAUUUUAGACCACACCCUAAUUAACAUAAGUUGCUAGACAAAAUAUUUUUUGUUUUUCAUUUUAAUAUUAUAUAAUUUUUACAAUUCUACUAAUUUAAGUAACUAAAAAGUCAUAAAAAAUAUAUGUAGAAUCAUAAAAAAAGUAACUAAAAAAAAUCCAAUCCUGCAACUCUACAAAGUUGUUUAAAUGGACCCCACAAUUUCUAAAACGUACCUGUUGUUUGGUUGAGCAAUCCACUGUAUUGUUUUUUCAGUUUCUCUUUACAACUGGUAUAUAAGUUACUACAUGAGUUGCUAAUUUAAAAUAGACUAAAUUUUAAUUUUUAUCACUAUCUUUAAUUAUUUUAUGUGAUUUUAGUUUCCAAUUUUUUUUAAAAUUCAUAGUUUUAAUCAAGUUUUCAACUACAUAUUACUGAUGUACACGUUGAUUCAUGAUGUCAGUAUCGUGAUGCGGUAGAAGUUAACAUUUAAUAGUUAGAAAAUAAUUUAAUUAAUUAAAAUGUAAAAAAAAAAGAGUCAUAAUUAAUAACAUAAUAAUAGCUUAUUUUUUUCAUUAAUGACCAUUUAUUUUUUAUGAGUAAACCAUUAAUGACCAUUUAUUCAAAAAAGAGGAUAUAAAAUUUAAUUAAAUAGACAUCUUUAAUUUUUUGAUGUUUUAACGUGCCAAUAAAUACACAAGAUGAAAGCAUUAAUUCCACUCCUUUAAAUAUUUUAUAAAAUCAGCAUUUAAACCUAUAAUUUAUCUUUUAUUUCCAUUUAUCCGUUACAUUUAAUUAUAAUUUGACCUUUUCAAUUAUGAUAAUUUGAUUGUUAGAAAAAAUAAUGACUUAAUAAAGAAGUCACUAUUUUUACUUAUUUAAAUAUGCUAUAAAAAAUAAAAAUUGAUAUUUUAAUCUAUUAAUUUGAUUUUUCAAUUACAAUAAAUUUAUACCGUUGCAAAAACAAAAUAAAAAGCUUGAUAAAAAAGUUAAAUUGAAACAAAAAAGGCAAAUAACCAAAAUAUGGUAAAAAUUUAAAAACAAUCAAAUUAUUUCUAAACAUUUCAAAUUAUUAAAAGAAGCAAUUUUAAACUAUGAUUUAAUAUAUUUUUUUAUUUUUUUUUUAUUUUACUUUUGUCUCUUCUUGUGAUAGACACCCGUUAACUAUUGCUUUUUAAGAACGUACUUGAAGUUGAACAGUACUUCAGUAGUAAACAGUUCAACUUCGGUUUUUGUUCUGAUAUCUCAUCUAAUCUCAACUAAAAUCCAAAUAUCCAAUCCCCAUAAAACAGAUUUUUAUUAUUUUCCACCAAUGGAUCCUGGCUUCGCCGGAGCACCGCCGGGCACGGCGGUGUUCGAUCAGAUUCUGGCCGAGGAACCAGAUAGCUCGUUGCUUCACCGGAACACCUUCUCCGGCGACUCCUUCUCUAUCCCCGACACCUUCGAGGACGUUCUAAACUUUGAUUUAGAACAGUUUGAUUUUGACAUACUAAACUCCCCACCACCGUCGCCGACGCUUCCGCCGACCGUCACCGUUGAUUCAGCUUCCUCCGUGGAAUUAAAAGCGCAGGCCUCGGAGGUCGGCCCGGUAGGGCCCACUGCGGGACUCGACCUCGGCGGAGAGAGGAAGGGGAAGCGGCGUCUCCGGAACAGCUAUACCGUUGGGGCGUAUGGGCCACUGGUAUCUCGGGGGAAGAGGACCAUGAACUCUGAGGAACUUGCUGAACUUGCUAGGGUUGAUCCCAAGAGGGUUAAGAGGUGGUGUUAAUUACAUUUUCAUUUUAAUUAUUUUUUCAAUAAAAUAAUUUAAAAGACUUAACAUGGUAAUUUUAUAAAAUAAAAUAUGAAAUUUACAUAUAAAACUGUUUAAUUUUUCUUAUUUAUAAUCAUUAAUCUUUUAUGUUAAUAAAUUAUCACUAUUUAUUUAUUUUAAAUAUUACAGUUAAAAAUAAUGAAAAUAUAAUAAUUAUUUUUUUUGGAAGUAAUUAAGACCUUUGUUUGAUUGAUUUUUUGAGUGGUAUUUUGUAGACACCCAUCUUCGUCGAACCUCUCGAUCCUCUUCAGCCAAAUUCCUAUAUAUGCAAAUAAUGUUCUGCAACAUCACUUGUUAAAAAUGAAAAGUAUUAAUGAAUAAAAUAGGUUUCGUUUUCAAGGAAAAAGAGUUAGACCAAAUAUUACUUUAAUUAAAUUGGUCUGAAUAAGUUUUUUACUCAUGUGUGGGUGCAUCUGCGCAGCAAAAGUAUUGUAGUCGACCAAAUGGAACACAUGUUUGAGAUUGCUCUUCAAGAAAUAAUACUUCCUUCGUUACUUUUUAUAAGAAAAAAAAUUAAAAUAUAAAUAAAAUUCAACUACUUUUAUCUUAUUAAAUAAGAUUAUAUUUAAAAUAUUUUUCAUUUAAUGGAAGAAUUGUGUUUAAUAUCAAAUUCUAAUGAAAAAUAGUUUAAAAAUAUUAUUAUUUUUAAUUGGGAAUAACACAAUAUAAUGAAAUAAAUUAAUUUUUUAAUAAGUAUGAAAUAACUUAUUUUUUUAUUAUAAAAGAGAUAGAAGGAAAUAGUUUUUAAAAAAAUCAUUUUAUCAUAUGCACUUGGGAAAUAAGUCUUCGGGGUGUGGUGUUCUCAGUGAUAUAAGUUGAAUUGUUUUGUUCUGUAGGAUUCUUUGCAAUAGAAAAUCUGCUGCUAAAUCAAAGGAAAGGAGAGUGAUUUAUGAGAAAGAUUUGCGAGAAAAGGUCCCGCAGCUUGCGAUUCAAUCAGCUAACCUAGAUGCUAAACUUAGAUUUCUUGCGGUAUGUGUUUUCCUUUUCAAUUUUAUUAUGUUUCUAAGCAUAAAUGUGGCAACUUGGGUGUUAACAAUGCUAUAGAGAUUAUUUAACUGAUAAUUAUGAAUUGUGUGGUGGCAAUAACACUUUGUGGAAAACACCCUCGAAAUAGCGAUGCUCUCUUUCUUAGAAAAAGUUGUGAAUUGUGAAUACUUAAAAUUAAAGGUCCAUAGUAUGGUAAUAAACUAAUUAAUAAUUAGAUUGUGCCAAAAACAAACUUAUAAUUAGAUUAAACUAUAAUAUGUUACAUUUUUUUUAGCAAAAUUAUUAAUAAAAUUAUGCUAUUCUAAGAUCGGGAUCUAUGUACUAGAGUGGCAGUGCCUGGGAUCAUAUGAUUACGUAAGGAGGUGAGCAAUAGAAUUAAAAUUUCUCUCUCUUAAAAGUAUUCAAGUAGCCCUAGGCUCCCAAGCAAGGAUGACCAUCGUGUAACUAUUUAUUAGCACAAUGCCUUCCGGUAUCGUGUGUUACAGAAACCUCGUCUCUAAAAUUGUGUCUAUUUAAUUUUUUAUAAACGUUAAGAAACUUUGAUAAUACUUAAACUUUUUAAAGAUCUCCUUUGAAAAAUGAUAGAAACCUACAAAAGCUCAUCAAGCUCCCCUGCAAUUUCUUUUCAACUUGUACAUAUAAAUAUAAAUGAGGUUUAUGUUAUAAAAGAAAACUACAAAAAUGGUAAGAGUAAUUUCACCCCUUACAUUUUGCUCUAAUUAUACAAACCUUCCUUCUAGAUUAAGGAUGUUCUGCUAGGAUUUAGAUGUUGCCUUUGCAAAUUUGCUUUUGAAAAUUCUAUGAUUUUGAUAAUUUCUGACCUAAUAGUUUUUCUUUUUUUUAUUCAUAUUACUUUGAUUUUACCAUCAUUACAAAGUUUUGCGAAUUGAUGUUCAUGUGAAGAUGUAUAUGUUUCACUCUUGAAGAAAAACACUAAUAUGCACUAGUAAAUUAAUGUCUGAAUAUAGAAUACGUUGACUAAGAGUCUAUUUGCAUAUAUACAUUUGUUUAGCCACAAGUUGAAUUAAUAACAUGGCAUGGGGAAAUUUUUUUAAAAAGAAAGUUUAAUAUUACUAGCUAGCUGCAUUGUUAGUUGGUUUAAGUUCUUGCCUCUAUUUGAGAAAUACGGUAUUUAUUUUUGUUUUACAACAGUGACAUUAGCGGUUCAACCUUUCUAGGAUAUAUAGGAAAGAUCAAGGUCAACAUUGUGCUAAUAUAUAUUGUGGAGUUAUAUUUGCUGCCUUUGUUUAUAGAUUAACUGUUCUUAUUAGCUUCGUUGUGGAGCUUGGCUAAUGGCUAUUUUAGAGUCGUCUUUAUUGGAUACUGAUAGAGAUUGGCAUUCUUGGUUCAAUCGAUAUAACUUAAUAGUGAUUUUGAUAUAUAUAUAUAUAUAUAUAAAUUAUCUAACAGUACAAUGAUUCGUUGGGUCUACUAGCUUUCUUUAAUUACUAUCCAAGUUUGUUUAAUUUUUGUGAGAGCAAAUAAUUAAUUAUGUUGAUUUUGUAUAAUAUUUAAUUAUAUUCAAUUUACUACGUACACCUGUAAAAAAAAAAAUGAGAGAGGAACAAACACAUUAAUAUCUCAUAUGAUACAGGAAGACACUACAAAUAGGGAUGUUCGUCUUAAGCAGCUCAGAUUAACCAUAGAUGCUAUGCGACAAGAAGCGCAGAUUAAAGAUGGUAUGCAUGGUUUUAUAUUUGUUUAUGCCUAAAGUAGCAAACUUUGUGCUUUCCCUCGUAUCACAUUAAACUGCAUAAAUAAAAUUUUCUAUCUUUACACGUCUCGGUUGCAUGAACAAUAUCAUGAAUUAAUAUCUGCAUCUGUAUCAAUUAUGUCCUUUCCCUCGCAUCACAUUAAACUGAAUAAAUAAAAGGUUUUACAAUUACACUACUUGUUGCAUGAACAAUAUAUAUGCAUGUGUAACAAUUAUCACUUUCCCAGAAAAUCCCAACAAUCUAAGCAUGCAUGAAAUUAAAUAACCUUUUAAGUUCAUAGGAGAACUUGUUAAAUAACCUUUUUGGUAGUUACAUUAGCUUGUAAUUUUGCACCAGUUUGGACAUUUAUUUAGCCUUUGUUGCUAAUUUAUAAAUUUGGUACAUUCAUAUUAUCAUGAACACAAUCUUGUGCUUGCAGCUCUCUCUGCAUCGGUAAAGGAAGAACUUCGAAGCCUCCGUAGGAAUAAACAUGGUCAUGUUGGUGUUAUGUCAAGUUGUGGUUCUGUGGACGAGUUGACCUCUCAAUUUUCUUCACAGUUGGCUCUACAAAAGUUUCAUAAUCAUCCGUCGUCGUCUCAGAAACAUCUAGACCUUCCUCAGCAAACACAGCUCUCCAUGCCUAAUCCUCUUCCUUACUCUACUACUCAGAGUUUUAGUGGGCAAUAUGGCCCUAAUAACUACUUCUCCAACUUCAAUCAGCAAAACUAGUUCAUUAUAGCAGGCAGCAUGAAACGAUAUCACAAGUAUCAUCUUGUGUAUAUGUUUGUAAUGCAGGAGAGCUGUGAAGGAUAUCAUUGUGUUGUUCAGCGUCUUUGUUGGUACUUAUGUUUUACUGUUUCAGGCUAGAUAGCCUAAUUCUUGUGCUUUUCCUGCAUUAAUUUUAAGGUUAAAACCAGAACUCAUUUUUUAUUUUCAGUUAAUUAUGUGGUGAAAACAGUUGAACAUGAAGAUGUUGAAGUAUAAGUUGAUGAUGCAUGGGGGGUGAAUGCAAGCUGUAUUCAUUGAGUUAUCACUUUGUAGCUUCUGAAGUUACAUGAUAUCAAACUUUGGAUUUUGUGAAAGAAAUUUAAUGGAAGAAAAAUGCAUCUUUAGUGUAUGUCAUAUGUUUUGCAGAUGUGUGUCCCCUCGUAUGAGCGAAAUCGUGUUAUGGUUAUUAUCUUAAGUAUAACCUUUUACACCCGAUCUUUACUCCCUUUGAUCUUUCUCACUUCACCAACAACGGCUCACAGAACCAUUAACACACCACCAUCAACAUCAAACCUCCAUAAAACGAAAAGGCCAUUGAGUACUUUUCCUCACUCAUUUACCCUCGGACCUUUAAAUUUCUCUCUCUCUUUCUCACAUAUAAUGUUAACACACUCAUAUCUUAUCAGCACACAUGAUCUUCCGGUUCUUAAUUUGUCCUUAAGUUAUCUCCACAAUCCACUUAGGAUUCACUUAUCCUCUCAUUUGUCCUUCAGAGGAUUUAAGAAACAUUCAGGAGAUGAAUUUAAAACAUGUAGGUCAAUCGGGACGACAAUGAAAACCCAAAUCAUCAGCCACAGACGAAGAGUAGCUGGCGGGGCAUGAUGGAGGGCUCAGCUUGACAAAGGAGCUAGGGGGUAAUUCGGGAAAAGAUAGAAAAAUGAAAAAGAAGAAAAACUAAUUAAAAGAAAAAUUCUCAUCCAUUGACUUAAAAAUAAAAACAAACAACCGUUGGAGACCUAUAACACUUUUUCAUUGUAGUCUUCUUCAUCUUUCAUAGUAACACAUUAAAGGAGUGGAAGAUUAAUAUCUUAAAUAUUAUCAUAUACUAAAUAAGAAACACUUCUUAACGACAUUUCUUAUACACAAAUUAUAAAAUAAAAAUUCAGAUCACAUGCUUAAAAGACUAUAAUUAAGUCCCUUCAUUUAUACCAAGAUUACAUUUAUAAUUACUUAAUAGAUUCUCUAUCAUGAUAGUGAACGGUGCAUUGAACAGACACAAUUUCUAGAACCAAUGUCAUUUGCAAUGCACAGAGGUUGAAGUUGUCCAUCUUCAAACCAAAAGGAUCGCUUUUUACGAAACUCACCACCAAAGGAGUCCAACAUUUCAAUGGUAAUGUGUUGCAUCACCACUACAUGUGCAAUAUUCCCAUUGCAUGCCAAAUUCCACCUACGAAUAAAGUCAUCAUCUAGAGGCCUCUCAAAGAUGACAAUGUCGCUAAACUUGUUUAACAUUGUACUAAUUUGAGCAUCACGUAGUCGAUUUUGUAAAUACCGUGCUUUCAUUAUGCAUUUUUGCACUUCGUUUUGGAGUCCUAUAUAUCAAACCUCUUUUUUUCAAGGCAUACCAAAGAAAUAUUGGAGCAUGCCCACAACGGCUACCUGUGAUUGUGGCAUCCCUUGAAGCAAUAAUUUCAACAUUUUUAGACAAUGCAUUGAUGUAUUCUAAACGAGUUAUUGCAAUACCACAAGGAAUUGGGCAUCCCAAGAACUUAUGGCCAGAAACAGUCACACUUCCAAUAGGUUUCUUGAAGGUAAUCCUUGGUGCCUGUGAAAUCACCCACAAUAUUUUAGAUGAGAUCAUAAUUAAUUAGUGUCUUAGCUUGGAUGCUUUGGUCUCUACACAUCGGACCUUCAUAGCAUCUCCAUUAAUACCUAAGCACACAUCAAAGCAAUGUUAUAGAUAAACAAAUAAGUGACUUUAAACUCACUUGCUUGACAAAAGGCAACAUCAUUCCAAAUAGAGCUCCAUCACAAUGAAUGUAGAACCGAUCACGAGUGAAACCACAUUCCUCAAGCGUUUGUAUUACAAGAUCAAGGUCAUCAAUAGCUCCUUUCAUAGUCGUCCCUACAAUAACAUACUGGUUCUAAGUUUGGUAUAUAUGUCUACAUUUGUAAAAAAGUUUGUGCAUGAGAGCUCGUUUAAAUUAACAGUAACUAGUCAAAGACAAAAAGGGACCUAUGUUUAAAUUGAUAAUGGCUGGCUUGUCUUUGUGUGUAAGAACUAAAUCCUUCAGAUUAACACAAUCAAUCUCACCGGAGGUUAAUGUGCUAACCUUCAUGCACUUCAUUCGAUACAUUCUAGCUAUUUUGAAGAUUGAAUAAUGUGAAUCUUGUGAGGUAUAUAAUAUCCCAUCAGGAAGUUGUUCUCUCCUGUAUAUAAAGAAAAGGAUAUAAAUCAAAGUUUGUGUCUUGGAUAUAUUUUUGAAAUAUCAAAGAAAUGGAAUCAAAUUCAACAAAACUGACCCCACUAAAAUUCCGUGAAGAUUGCCUUCAGUUCCUCCAGUUGUGACGUAUCCCCAAUACUCAUUCUUCUUUAUCUCCCACAGAUUUGUAAACCAAUUAAGCACACAAACUUCAAAAGUUGUUGAAUUUAGGGAGAAGCUGCUCCCUAGCUAGAAAUGGAUCACCAGCAUUGUUUGGGUGAAAAUGAAAUAAUGGUUUUAUUGCAUCAGAGUUGAAGUCCUGAUUAGUAGGAUAGCCUGCAAUUGAAAUUCAUGAAUGUCAUUAGCAUUUAGCAGAGUCGAUCUGUCAUAGUAUUACAAGGAAAUAAGGAUCCCAUGCAGAGUUACCCCAUCUAUAAAUAGUUAUGGUUUUCCUAAUCAUUGUUUUAAUUGCUAAUAGUAGUUUAAAAUUUUAAUAAGUAAAAAGUUUUUUUUAAAAAAAAAAACUACAUGUGUCAUUCAUUGGAAGCACACAUAAUUAAAAGAAAAUUAAAAGCGCAAGCUGUAGUGAUUUAGAGUUUCCAGGUAUUGAGCAAUAACUGAAGCUAAAUUGGCUUGUGUCUCGCCACUACACUGUGUGAUAGCAAGGUUCGUAUGACUAUUGUCAUUCUCAUAUUUUUCACUUCUAGUAGUGAGCUUAGCACCCAUGAAAGCAAUUGCCAUGUUCUUCUCCAUUGCGUUUGUAAUAUGCGUGCAUGUCUGAGAUCUAGGGAAGGAGAAGUGUGAGCCACUUAAAGGUUUGAAUGUGUAUUUAUAGAAUAUUGCAUUCGUAAUUAAUUUGAAGAUAGGUCAUCACUGCAUGUACACACAGAAUACCACGGUACACGUACACAAAACCAAAACCAAAAGCGUCAACACGCACGUACAUAUAAAAAACGUGCUAAAACUAAAACCCAAACAUAAGACAACAGCCGACAAGAAAUUUUGACGUGAAAAAAGGUGUUAAAUUAUCAAGAAUUUUGCUAAAAUAGUACUGGCUAUUAUCUGUCAUUUUUUUUAUGCGAGUAUUUGUCAAACACUUUUUAAUAUAUUUAAAAAUUAUUUAUUUGUUAUGACUUUUAGUUAUAUAAAAAACAUUUAUUUAAUGCAAUGAACAAAGUAAAAUAUUAGUUUAAUGAAAAUAUUGAUACUCUUUCUCUUCUCUUUCAUUCCUAUAUUUCUCUCAUUAAAAAAUCCUUAAAAUCUACAUUUUUUCUAUUUUUGCUUCUAUUUAAAUUCUUUCUUUUUAUUUUUUUCUCUUAUGAUUUUCUUUUUGAAUCAAAUAAAGAAUAGUGCCCUACCUGUUUAAAGAUUGAUAUAGAGACUUCAUCAAUCUCGCUUCAUGUCGUACAUGCAAGUAUUGCAACUGAUGUGUCGUCAAAUACUAUGGAAUAGUCAGCAUAACUUCUAUAAUUUGUCACAACUUUCUUUUUAUUACAAAAGUCAAACAUUUAAUUUGUGCUUCAGUUCGUGAGUUGUUCUUGACUUGGCUACAGUAGAAGUAAUCAAUUAUGAAACCAAAACAUUAUUUCAAACAAAUUAAAUCUUUUCGAUGCAUAAUUUGAAUAUAUAUUCUUAAUUUGAUAACUUUAUCUUAUUUUUAUUUUGAAUAAAUUGCAAUAACUACUCAUUAAAUUUUGUGAAAUUACAUAAAUAUUUUUCUUUAUUUCUAGACUAACCCCUUUUAAUUUUUAAAAAAUAUAUACCGACACCCUUUUAAACACUACAUUAACUUUCCUUAAUUGUUUAACAAUAUUACACGUAAUUGAUUAUGCAAAUAAAAGUUUUUUGUCAAAUCUUCAUAAAACUAUAUUACAAACAAAAUAAUUAUUUACAUUUGGUGAUAUAGUCAUUUCAUGACAGUAUAUGAAACAAAACAUAACUAUCGCAUUAUCUAAUCAUAUAAAAGUUGUAGCAUUACAUGAAAUGAAAUAAGUUGUGAAUGUGUUUGGUUGUGAUGUGUCAUUUAAUAUGGGUAAGAAAUUGUGGUUUAUUUUCAAGGGAAAAAAAAACAUUAACAAUGAUACGUUUGUUAAGGAGUGAGUUGACCGAGGAAACCUAUAAACUUCUGGUCAUUGUCGGCAUGCAGGGAGACAUUUUGUGUUUAUCUUGGGGUGGGUUUUUUAAGCUGGUGCCAUUAUGAGGAAGACUUUGGUGUUAUUGUAUGUUUCUACCAAGCAUGGUUUUAAAUAGUAAGCUGUAUUUUUUCUUUAAGUGCCUACAAUGUAAAAGUUUAAUUUCUGGCUCAUCACACUGCAAUCGCGACAGCAAUCAGAAUUUAAAAUCAUGUAGCAAGGGUCAAGCAUUGAAUAUGAGGGACUGGUGCUGCUUUAUUCAAGUGGUGUGACAAGGCUACUAAGGGCAAUUCAUAAAUUAAAGCAAAAUCAUCUUGGAACGCUGGCGAUCCAGAACCCAAGGAAGCGGAGCCUGGAGACACAUCUGCAAGGCAUCCAAUGGGUCAUUGAACUUGGAUUAUAGAAUAAGUUGUGUUUGAGCUUGAUUGUAAAAGUGUCGUUGAUGGCAUUUUGGCAAACUCUACUGAUUUUUCUUAUUUUCAUGUUAUUCUAUCUAAAGUGCAGAGAGCUGAUCUCUUACCUUUUUCAAACUCAAUUGUGUAAACAGAAAAGUAAUGGCUGUAUUAUUUCUUUCAUUUUCAGUUGGGUGGGUGUGACGAGAUGUUAAUUGAAAAGAUGUCUGCAGUCUGUAUAAAAUAUUCAAAAAACUACUCAUACGUGGUAAAAGUGAUAAUGGCGAUCUGUACUGUAUUUUGUUUGUCACUCAAUAAACAUAUAUAAAAUUAGUGGCCGGGGUAUUUAUUGUUAAUCUCUAUUUCUUUUAAGUGACCUCAAGGUGAUGGUACACAAAACAGAACGAAACGAAGUAUAAUAAAAGAAAACAUGAUAUUAUUAUUUAACAUAUAUACUGUGUUUAGUUAAUUAUAAAAUGAUACAAAAUUUAAUGUUGUCCUAUAUAAUAAAUUUGUUCCACUAACGUUGUCCUAUAUAUGUAUUUAGUUUGGUACUUAUUAAAUGAAAUAUUAUGUUAUUUUUAAUUAUAUAAAACAAUUUUAAAUCUUCUUACAAUUUCUCUUUGCUAAAUUUCUUAAUUGUUAAAUAAAGUACUAUUUUUUUAUAUUUUAAUACAUUAAUUAUUAUUUUUUUCAUUGAGCGCUUUUUCUACAAAGUGAUAAAAUAAUAUAGAAGAGUCUAACAACAUUACUAAUAUGUCAUUUAAUAAAUAAUAAUCAUCAUUAUAAUAAUUUUUAAAAAUAUAAUUAUUAAAAUAUUUUCUUGUGAGGUCAGUUCUCCAAUUCCUUGGAUUUGUUGAACUACUUCACCGCACACCAUCAGAGAGGCUGCAUUCCCGCUCAUCAUGAGAACCAACUUCAAACCCUUAUGAUGUGAGUCACGUACGUAUCAAACCUCUAUCCACAACCCUACAUUGUCAAAUGCCCAUGCAAUGAGCAAACCCUAUUACCCUCACCCUCACCAGACACGUACAUCCUCUCUCCAUCAUACACGAACACAUUCAUUAAGUGUUAUUAAACUCGACCAAGGUACUGGAUCACUAGAUUAGGAAUCCAUCCAAUGAAUAAGUAAUUAAUCUACACUCCAAUUUAUUAAUUCAGUUAUAAGUAUGUAAUCAACAUUAAAAAAUUCAAAUAUUAUAUAGAUCAAAUAAAUAUAAUUAUAUUUUUUUUUAACCUCUAGUUGUAAGGAACAUAGAUAAAAUUAUUGAGAUUUUGAUGCUCCAACCUGUUUCUUUUUGUUGAAUGAAUAUAUUCAAAUACACUUUAAUUUCGCUCACAACCCAAAAAAACUUUAAGUUUGACUUAAGAUAUGGAUAACUACCUUUUACAAAUGUGGUGCACCAUAUCCAUAAUCCUCCCACCAUUGAUCUACAAUAUUGGAUUAAUAAAAUAAAUAAAGAUUAUGGAUCACAAAUAAUGAAAGUUAUAAAUAACUAAUGUUACCUAGUAUCAUUGUAUUUCUUUCACAUACACAGCAGAUUAUCUUUCAAAAUCUACCUCAACAUUUUUGUAUAAUGUCAUUUCACUUGUCAAAUGAGAAUUCGACUCAAAAUCUACAUGAGAAUACUUCUCAAGAACUUCAUAAAAUGCACUUGUUAUGUUGAUAUGAUUUUUAAGAUCAUUAAAGUGAUAAACAUGAUUUAACCAAUAACCAGCAACAUGAAUUUGCUACAUUAUUUGUGACUAUAUGGACAAUAUUUUUAGGGCCAACAUACAACACCAUAUCCCUCAAAAGUUUUACAUAAAUUUUCAGGAGUUUUAGAAGCAGUAGAAGCAUCCACGAACUUUAGAAAAACAAUACCUUUAGGACAAUAAACCAAAAAGUUGAUUAGAGUCCACCUGCAUCUGUCAGUCCACCCAUCAUCUAUCACAAGAAUACAACUAGUUCGCUUCCAAAUCUCACGGUACUUCUCAAUAACUUUCUUCACUUCAUCAACUCAUUUAUUUAACAAAAAACCACAAACACUAUAAAAAUUUGGACCUUAUAUCCUGGGCCCAUGCUGCAAAAUGCAUCAACCAUAGGCUGGUAAUAUGUUGUGUAAACUGCAUUGAAAGGCACAUAAGCAUCAAUCAUCCAUCUUCAAAGGCAAUGUCACACUUUUCUACCACCUUUUUGCUUUGCAAGACACUUUUUAAGGUUGGUUGAGCUCCAGCAGUGGUUAUUGGAACAAAAUAAUCACCAAUGCGGUUGGAAUUAUUCCCCCUUUGAGAUGUAAGAGGUGUUGCUCUUAAUGGAGGAUCAUCAGACACUCUCAAAGAAUCUUCAUCAAAUGCAACAUCAUUCUCGUCAUCAGCUUCUUGGGUUUUUAUUUUCUUGGUCUUAUUCUCAUCCAUGUUUUGUUUCAUUUGAAAAGAAAUAUGACAGCUUGUCCCUUUUCUCCAACCAAGUGAGCCUUCAAUCUAUUAAUUCCACCUCCUUUAAUAACAUUAUUACAAUAAAGACACAUUAGAAAUUUUUUGUUAUUUUCCCCAACAAUUCAGUUGUUUGCAAUUUGCCCAAGCCAAAUUAGUUUUCCCUCGAUGCUUUGAGCCUUGAGUUGAUGCUUCUUGUGAUGAUGGUUGUUCAGGUUCAGGAGUUGACAUCUCUACUGUAUAAAUGAACUUGCUAUGUUACUUAUAAUGUACAACCUUACUAAAAUAGUGAUGUUCUAUAUUCUGGAAAUAAAAAUAGUAAGUAGACAAUCUGAAUUCAAAACUUUCCAUUUUGUUUUCAAACAUCAAUAUUACUCAGAAGUUCAAAACCACUGCACAAUUUAAAACUAAACACAUAACAUAAAAAUACAAUACAUUAUACAUAUUUGGAUUUGAAAAGAGCAGUCACAUACAUAAGGAUUCAAAGUGCACCAAACAUGAAUGUUCAACAGAGGGAUUCAAAGUUUCAAACAGAACACAUAUGGGAGAAUAGAAGGGGGUUUGAACUUUGAACAAAGCAAAGCAUAGAAGUGCUAACAUGUUUUCUGGAAGUGUUUGAGGGUGUUGACGACGAUGGAGGCUCCUGCUGGUGCGAGGAGCGAUGACAUUGCAGGGUCGAGGUCGAGGGGCAGUGGUGAGCGAUGACUCUGUUGGGAGAAGGUGUCUUCGCCUCUUUGAGGUCGAGGGACUGAGCAAAGGUGAAGGGGGUUGUGCGACUCUUCGAGAGAGACAAAUUAGGGAAGUUCUAAUUUUUGUUUCUCCAAUUGGGUUACUGUGACCCACCGGUGUGGGUCACUGGUUGAGGCCGAGUCGCACCUUUUCAUGUGCAAAAAGGGUCUAAAUAGGUGGCUCAGACCGAUUUUAGGUGUUCAAUUCUCAGACCAGUGGAUCAAUCCAACCGAUUCGAACUGAGUUUAUACAUGCAAUAUUUCUUCUCUCAUGCAUGUACAUUACUCAACACGUACACGGUUUCAUUUAUCCUUUUCUUUUUCUUACACUAGUAAACCAUCUUCACUCUCUAUGAGAGCGAGCAUACACAUCUACACAAGCGAAACAUACACAUGCAAUACACACUUCUCUCUUCAUGAUCUCCUCAUAGUUAUAAUAAUUUAUUAUAUGGUUGCUUUUAAGAAUUGAGACAUGUUAAAAGCUGAGGACCUGAACCUUAAUUAACUAGUGUACGUACGUAGGCAUGUCUCCUUUUGAACUGCUUAAUAAAUUAAUCUAUACAUCACAUAUUCCCAUUAUAUAUGUUUAGAUUGAGCAUAAUGGAAUAUUCAAUACGCUAUGACCGGAGCAUUUUCCACUGGGAAGAAAGCGGGCUCUGAACAUUAAUCUAUAUGCAUAUACUUCAAUCUUGGAAACCAAUUUUAUAUUGAUUUUCCCUAAUCUUGAUGAUUCUUACAUUCUUGUUCUUUGUUCUUAAUGUUUGAUUUUAUUCUCAUUAUUCUUUCCCCAAUAUAAAAAUCUAUUUCUUCGAUCUUUUUUAACUUUUAUUAUUGAAUCACAAUAAAUUAAUUAUUAUAAAUCAUAAAUUUUACGAAAGAACGAUAUUUUUAUUAUUUAACAAUGUUGUACACUUACAUUAAUAUAUCAACCAGUUGAUGGGUUGAGUCACCAAAUUGACAUCAAUUUUUGCAAGUUAGGCAGGUUCCAACCCAGCCAUUUUGCAAAUCCUAAACAAUUAUAACAUCACAUAUGUAUUAUUUAGUUAACAGAUUCUCAAUCGUGACAUUGAAUUGUGUGCAUUGAACAACCACAAUUUCCCGAACCAAUGUCUUUUGCAAUGCAUACAUGUUGAAAUUGUUCGUCUUCGAACCAAAUGGAUCGUUUUUGAAGAAAUUCAGCAACAAAUGAGUCCAACAUUUCAAUGGUAACAUGUUGCAUCACUACCACAUGUGCAAUAUUUCCUUUGCAUGCCAAAUUCCACCUACGAGUAAACUCUUCAUCUAGAGGCCUCUUAAAGACAACAGUGCUACUAAACCUGUUUAACAUUGCACCAAUGCCUGCAUUACGUAGUCGACUUUGUAAAUAGUGUGCAUUCAUUAUGCAUUUACGCACUUCGUUUUGAAGUCCUAUAAGACCUUUUCUUUUGAUGGCGUACCAAAGGAAAAUUGGAGCAUGCCCGCAACGGCUACCUGUGAUUGUAACAUCUCUUGAACCAAUAUAUUCAACAUCUCUUGAUAAUGCAUUGAUGUAUCGUAAACGAGUUAUUACAAUACCACAAGGAAUUGGACAUCCUAAGAACUUAUGGCCAGAAAUAGCCACACUUCCAAUGGGUUUCUCGAAGGUAAUCCUAGGUGCCUGUACAAUAACAAGCAAUAUUUUAGAUAACAUCAUAAUUAAUAAUUUGUAAAUGUUUGUGUUUGUGUAUAAAUAGUGAAUAAUGAAUAAGAGGAAAAAAGAUUUAAAUAUGUUUGAGAUCUAUAAUAAAUGAUGAAUUUUUGUUUUGAAUUUUUGAUAAAAAAUUUCAUUAUAUUAAAUUUUUGAUAUAAUAUUAUAAUAUUUUUUAUUUUAAGUCUUUGUCUUCAGUUAUUGAUAAUGUAAUAUCUUACAAAUAAAUUUUUUCAAAAUAUAUUAAUUAUUGAGAUAAUGUCAUAUCAUCACUAAUCUGAUGACAUGAAUUCAAAAUAAAAGUUUUGAUAUAUUAAAAUAAAAGUUUUGAUAUAUUAAAGAUCAAAUUCAAUAAAAAAUUUAUUAAGGAUUUAAAAUAAAAAUUAUUUAUUUAUAAGGGACCUUGAAUAUAUUUAAGCCUAUAAAAAAGAAUAAUAUACAAAAGAUAAAUUUCUAAAUUAGUUGGAGAACAAAACAAAAUAUAAAAUAAGGGAAAGAUUUUAUUUCAAAAUCCAAGCCAUAUUUCAAAGUAAUCUGUCUCAACAUAGAUCUGUAUAUUCUCCACAUAUCCAAUUUACCUCCCCAACAACUCCCAUUUCCUAAUCAUACUAUAUAUCAAAGAGAAGCUUUUUAUGUAACAUAUAUGUUAAAAACUUACUUGUUCAACAAAAGGCAACAUCAUUCCAAAUAGAGCUCCAUCACAAUGAAUGUAGAAUCGAUCACGUGUGAAACCACACUCUUGAAGUGUUUGUAUUACAAGAUCAAGGUCAUCAACUCCUCCUUUCAUAGUUGUCCCUGAAACAAGAACCAUAUUUAUGUUUCUCCAAGUGUCUAUAAAUUUUAUGUAAAAAGUGUGUGCUAUUAUUAGUUAUUAUAUAUGUGGGUAGUUGUCGAAGGAUACCUAUGUUUAGAUUGAUUAUGGCUGGCUUGUCCUUGUGAGCAAGAAGUAAAGCCUUUAAAUCAACACAAUUAAUCUCGCCAGAGACCAAAGUGCUAACCUUCAUGCACUGCAUUCGAUACAUUCUUGCUAUUUUGAAGAUUGAAUAGUGUGAAUCUUGUGAGGUAUAUAAAAUCCCAUCCGGAAGUUGUUCUCUCCUAUAUAAAGAUAGAAAUCGAUGUUUGUGUUUAGUAUAUAUUUUGAAGCAUCAAAGGAGUCUAGAAAUUAUAUCAAAUACUAACCCUACUAAAAUUCCAUGAAGAUUUCCUUCGGUUCCACCGGUUGUGACGUAUCCCCAAUACUUAUUCUUCUCUAUCUCCCACAGAUUUGCAAACCAAUCAAGCACACACACUUCAAAUCUUGUUGAAUUUAGGGAGAAGCUGCUUCCUAGGAAUGGAUCACCGGCAUUGUUCAAAUGAAAAUGAAGCAACGAUGCUAAUGUGUCAUAGUUGAAGUUUUGAUUAGUGGGGUAGCCUAAAGUACAUGAAAGUCGAUCAUUAGUACAGUCUUGCAUGGUAAGAAGAAGAGAUUUCAUGGAAAUAGAUAAAAGAAAAAUAAUAUUGUUAUAAAAAGAGAGAGAGAGAAAAAAAAGUUUGAACUGAGUUUAAAAAUAAGUAUCAAAAUAUCAGAACUAUUAUAUAUUAUAAAUUAUUAAAUUUAGUAUUAAACUAACUUUGAUAUUUCCAUGCGUGUCAAUUAUUUUCACAUUGUAUAUCUUACCUUCUAUUAUAAAAUAUUUCUUUUACUUGCUGAGAUUGCAUUAUUAAGAAUGGAUAAGGAUGUGAAACAGAUUAUGACAAUGAAACAAUUUUCAAAGUAAAAACGCCAAAACCAAAAGCAUACCUAAGUUGCGCAAGCUGUACUGAUUUAGAGUCUCGACAUAGUGAGUAAUAACUGAAGCCAAAUUGGCUUGUGUCUCGCCACUGCACUUGGUGAUAGCAAGGUUCUCUUUAAUAUCUAUCGGCAGAUUCUCUUCUUUUCUAGAGAAAUUGGCAUUGCUGACAACUUUCGAUGACAACAGCUCCGUGGCAUGAGUUCUUGGAAUUAUGAAAUCCAUUGCCAUGUUCUUCCCCGCUGAAUUCUCCAUUUGUAUAUUGUAAUUUGUAAUAUGUGUAUCCGAGAGUGAUAUAUAUGCAGAAUGUGUAGUGAAAGACACAAAGGCUGUGAAUAUGUAUUUAUAGCCAGAAAAUCAAAGCUGUGAAUGUGCAUAACGCGUGUAUUUUCCACUUGGUGGAAUUGUAUUAUUAAUUUAUUUAUUUCAUUUUCAGUUGGGGUGGGGGGAAUUAAUGGUGAAUCAAAAGAUGUCUGCAUAAAAAAUUGAAAAAUAAAAUGUAUUAAAAGUAAAAUGAAAUACGACACUCAGGAAUAAAAUGUAUCUUUUUAUCAAUCUGCCUGCCGUUCUCAACAGCCUUAUACUCUCAUGCAGUAGCGGAAUUGGGAAAAAGUCUCUGAGAGGAUCAUUUUUGGGGGCGUUUGGAAACGCGUCUCGAUCCACAAGAUAAUUAAAAUCACGUUUGGUAAGGUGGAUAGCGGGCUUGGUAUUUGACACGUACGAUAGAGUGGUUAGAUUAUGUGUAUGGAGUUUUGUUAGAACAAUGACAAAGAGGUGGAACGUUCCUAUAUGCAUGCAUGGGGUGGAGGAAUUUUCAUCUUUAAUUUGGCUGGUAAAUAAGUACUAUAGUGUAGUUGAAUUGGUGGUACAGCUGGUUCAUUUAUAGUGGGCUAAUAAUUUAUUUGCUAGCUAUAGUAUCAGGUUAAGUUAUAUUUAUGUGCUAUAUAUCUCUGUGAAUUAAUAUUUGGUGACCCUCUUUGAUCGAGGCCGUUUUUGGCCUCUGGUUGUACCAGAAUUUGGUACCACUGCUACCUUUUCACAUUGUUAUAUAAUAUCAUUAUUUAUCUCGAUGAAAAAAAAGAGAUAAAAUCACGUCAAUUUCUACUUAGAUGUAUGUAUGUAUAAUGUAGCCCAUGUUUGAAACUGGGUCACCAACUUACAAAAACCACGUCAAUCUGCAUCCUUUUAUGAAGAAGCUUCAAGUUUGACGUGGAAAACCACGUUGGUAAAAGCUACUGUGUAGACUGCGCAGCUUUGGUUAAGAUGUGUGUGUAUUUCAGAUGUUUGACGCCAGGAACCGACCUAGGAUGAGUUAACUGGGGGGGGGGGGCGGAAUUUUUUCAAAAUACUUAAUAAAUAUAUAAAUCUUAAAUUUUAUAAAUUUAUUUUUAUAAACCCCUCCGUAACAAAAUUUAUAUAAACAUUUAUUUAUAAUUAAGUGCUUUUCAAAACAAAUCAAGAACAUUUGGGCCUCGCUACACCUGUUCAUAUUUUAGCUGGCAUAUAUGGAUGCCUCUUUAGCAUAAAGAAGUAAGAGGUUAAUGGGCUGCAGUUUGGGCCAUUUUGAGGAAUGCAUGACCUUUCCAGUACUAUUGCCACUGCCCAUGUGAGUAUAUGCACCCAAGUCUUCGAACCAUAUAGAUAACGGGUUUUUUUUAUAAAAAAAAAUUGCAAGUAUUAUUAAUUCUUUACGUUAAGAUUUUGAUUUUUAAUUUAAAUUGUUAUAACUAACUUUUUAUAUUUAAAAUAUUUAUAUAUUUUAGUGUAAUAGAUUUUAACUUAAAAAAUUAUGUUGAAUUUUUUUAAUUUAACUUUAUAUAUUUUUUAUUUUUUUAAAAAUCAUAUUAAUAUUUGGAUUCACAAACUGGUUUGUCUAUAUGUGAACUUUUGUGAACCCAAUAUGUAUUUUAAAAAAAUUAUUUAUUUUACGGAUCAAACUUAUUCAACCCGUAUAUAUACUCAUCCCUAAUUAUGUUACAAAAUAAAAAUGAAAAAAUAUAAUUUCACAAGGCUUAACAAUGAGAAUAAUAAUUCCCAUUUUCCAACUCAAAUUAUAAAAUAAAAAACAAACUGCAAUAUCGGAUUCACACUAACAACAAGAGAGAAAAAUUCAUUCUCAAUACAUUCAUAUAUAAAUGCCCAGUCCAAGUGAAACCAAGUUUAUAUAUUUUAAAUAAAAUUUCGAGUUUUAUUUUAAAAAAAAAUAGUUUUGAGUCUAAAUAUUAUAAAUAAAAAUAUAUAAUUAAAAUAAAUUUCACUAAAAACAAUUAGAUUAAUUUUUCAUCAAAACUUUUAAAUGCUUUGCACCUAUAUAUAACUGUAAAAAAAUAUCAAUACAUUAUUUUCACAUUAGUAUUUUUAUUAAAUAUUAAAUUAACAGGUAAACUAUAAUUACCUAAUUAAAUUUUUGUGGGAGUCAAAUUAACAGAAGAAAAAAAUAAAGAUGCUGAAUUUGUGAAAUUAAGAUAAUAAAGAGACCUGCAAUUUGGAAAGGAACUAAGUAAAAAAAAAAUCUUAAGUAAGGAAUUGAGUAACAUCAAACAUUCAAACGCACGUUCACAUAGUCACACGUCAAUUCAGCUGCAUGGCUCGAGCUACUCAUCAAACGCCACGUAUUGCGAAAAAAGUUGGCACGUGCUAAAAAUCAACCGGCCGGCCAGUUUCUUAUGCGUUUGCGUCUUUUCAGCGUGACCCAUCCUUUUCGUCAUCAUGUUAUAUGUUCAAGUAGUAAAUGUUAUUUAGACACUGUUUGUUUCAAGUUAAAUAAAUGAAAAGGAAAUAUUCAUAAUAAAAAAAAUACUAGUACUUAGAUUCCUAUGUUUAACUUGAGGAAAUAAUGAAAAAGGAUAAUUUAUUUUUGGAUUCAUAAGGGAAAAAAUCAUUCAAAUUGGCAUGCGAUAGAAAAUAAGUUUUUUUUUAUGGUAGAAAAGAAGAUUUCUAGACAAUCUAUAUCACUACUUUUUUAUAUAAGUAUUUUUUAAAAACAGGUAACUUUAAAUGUUUGAAAAAUUAUAGAAUUAUCGAACAUUAGAUAUAUGAAUAUCUCUUCAUAAAAAUUUAAAUAUCGGUUCAUUAUAUUAUAAGAGGUUGCUCCCUUAUUAUUAUAAUUAUAAUCCAUAAUAAAUAAUCAUUUUUUAAAUUAUAAAUUAUAUUAUAAUAAAAAAUUAUAAUACAAAUAUUUUUAAAUAUAUAAAUUAUAUUUUGAUUUUUUGAUAAAUAAUUUUAAUUUUUUAAUAAUGUUAUUUAAAAUUGAAACAGAUUGAUAAACAAUUAAGAAAAGUAAGUAUAAAAACAAAUAAAGAUAAAUAAAUGUUAUUUUGUGAUGAUUGGGAAUUUUUCUUUGUCUAGUUUUGUUUUUUAAAAAAAAGUAUGUGAUAUGCAUCUCCAAAAUACAGGAGAUAGAGCAACGAAAAAUUAUAAUUAAGAGAGUUAGGUGAAUAAGAACUUCACUCUCUAAAUCAACAAUUCUAUUUUUUUUCCUUUUUUGAAGAGGGAGGGGGGAUGAAUGAGAAAUAUAUUCAAAGUCUAGAAACACCUAAGAGGCAAGAAGGUUAUUUCUUAUAAGCAUAAUAUGGCCUUAAGGAGAUAAAUUCAAAACUACAUCAAAUAUAUGUUUAGAAAGAACCAUGGCUAAUUCAUACUUGAUAAAGACAUCAACAACUUAAUUAGUCACUUUUAACAUGUAUUGUCAAACUAUAUGACUCAUGUAUUGAUGAUUUCAAUGACUUACUUUAACCAAGUUAUAACAAGAAUGCAAAUGACAACAUUCAUUGACCAAUAAUCUAACCAUCAUCAAAGAAUUCGAAUAAAACAACAAUCAUACAAAAAAUCAUAGUUAAAUCUUCUGCCUUGAGUUAAAGGCCCUAGAUGAACAAAAAGCCUUGUCAAACACUACAUGAAUGAUUUGGAUUCUAAUUUCCAAUAUAAGAAUAUUUGUUUAUUUAAUUUUGUUUUUAUUUCAUUUCUUGUUGAAAACAAAAUAUUUAAAGCCUACACUUUAUCAUAAGUCUAUUACAUGAUGGUAUGUCAUAGUGAUUUGAAAUUCAUUUUGGGUGUGUUUAGUUUAAAGGAUGGAGAUAAAAAAAAGAUGAAAAUAGAAAAAAAUGAAUUAAAAUAGAAUAUAAAAAAUGUGAGUUUCACAAAAAAAAUACACAAUUUCUCUCCAAUAUUCUUUCUCUCUUUUCUAUUAAACUUACCAUUAACAUUGAUUUAUGAAUGCAACACAUUAAAAAAAUAAAAGAAAACUAGUAUUUAAGAGAAUUUUCAAUUACAUGUCUCGUUUUAAUUUAGAUAUAGAAAACAAGACAUGAGAGGUGAAAGUGAUUUCAAUUCAUUUGUAAAAGCAAUAUAUAAAAUUAACUUAGUGCACAAGAUUAUAAUUCUUUUUUAAAAAAUUGAACACUUUUCAACAUUGAAGCCUAGGUCAUUGCUCUUUCGGCCCAAGCAUAAGAGGCCAAUCUUGUUUUUGUUUGUUUAGAUAACUAGUUAAAUAUCUCAUGUCUUAUACGAGUAUUAAUUUUAUAAUUUAUAUUUUUUUAUAUUAUUAUAUAUUUUUUUAUGUAAUUAAUUAUUAUAUUUUGACUAACAAAAAUAUAUUAUUAUUAUGUUAGUAUUUAAAAAAUAUUUAAUUGGUUUUCAUUAUUUAUCAUUAUAAUAAAUAUUUGUAACUAUUUUAUAAAAUCAUGAUAGUAUUUUUUUUAUAAUAAUUAAAGGAAAAUGUAUUAGCGUUAAUUAAAUUUAAAUUUAAAUUUAAUUUAGAAUCCAUAUAUAUUUAUGGUAUUAAUUAAUUUGAAGUAGAAAAUAUAAUUAUUUAUUAGUUAGAAUAUUCUAAUAAGAAAAAUAUUAAGGAACAUUUUUCCUCUAAUAAUGAUUGGUUACUACAAUUAGAAUAAUUAUCAUAAUUAAACUAAAUAUAUAUAUAUAUAUAUAUAUAUAUAUAUUAGUGUUAUUGAUUAAGUUUAAUUAUAUUACUAGUUAGAAUCUUUUAAUAAUUAUAAUUUAAUGAGAAUGAAUAUGAAACAUUUAAUCAUGUGAAAGAAUCUUCUUUUAUACUAUCUCCUAUCAUUUUUAUAUAUAAGAAAUAAGAUAAAUCAUAAUUUAAAUAAAAAAUGCUAAUAUCCAUUCUAGUUAGAAUCUAUUAACAUUCAAUACAAAAAUAUUUGAAGUAUAAAAUUGUUGAUUGUUUUGUUUUUUAAAAUUUAAUUCAAUGAUACUAUCGUAUUUUAUGAUUUAAUUUUUUAAAAACUCUAUCUCACAUUUUUUUUUCAUGUUUCUCUCAUAUAUAUAGAGAGAUAUUUGUUAUUUUAUUUUAUAAGUUAAAUAAUAAAGCAUAAUAAUGUUAUUAAAUUAAAAUUUAAAAAUAAAAGAUUCAAUAAUUUUUUUAGUCUAGAUAUUUUUGGACUGAAUGCUAAUGUAUAUGAAUAUUAAUAUUUUUUAAAUAAUGAUUAAAAUAUAUUUUCAUCCUUAUAAAUACUAAAAUAUUUAUGACUUGUAAUCAGAUUUAUAAGAUUCGAUUCUACAUGUUAAUAAUUUAGUAUAUCACAGGUGAAGAAUGUAACAUUAACCCGUAAGAUUGAAUAUUUCGAAUUCAAUUUUCUAAGAUAUCACACAUCUAUAUUUUUUACCAGGACAAAAGAAACAUACUUAAAAUUUGACAAUAUUUUGAUAUUUAUAACUUUAAAUAAUGUAAUAUUGUUUACUUGAUUUUAUUAUCCAAUAUAAAUAUAAAUUGUUUCUCCGUUGUUUGGUUUUGUUUUGGUCGGAAACAAUGAAUGAGAGGAUUAGCGAAACGCAGCGUGAGAGGAACGACAUCCCCAAUCCAAUUCAAUUACUAGCUGCCUUUUUCUUUUCCUAAAAUCUCGCCUUUUUCGCUUCCGUGUCCCUGCUCAGCGGCAAGGCAACUUCACUUUGGACCAAAUUACCCUCCAUCUCCCUUCAAAUCACACCGAACCCUUCCCUUCCCUUUUUCCACUCAGAUUCUCUCCCCCCACUCCACAGUCAACUCCAUGUGCGCUUGAAUGGAUUUGGUGGAAGGCGUCGGAGAGAGUUCCUCGCCGCCGCGCGCCUUCAGCGGCUACAGCAACUACGACGUCCGCAACGAUGUCUACAACCGCCUUCUUCAAACCGGCCACGACCAAGCCGUUUCCAACCCCGACUUCCGCGAACACUUGGAGGCUCACUUCAAUCGCUUGCCACCGAGGUACUACUUUCUUUCACUCUCUUCUUCUUCUUCCUUUCUAUUUUUUGGAUUAGGCCUCACUUUCAAUUAUUUCUAGGAAUGAAGUGUGUAAUAAUCUGUUGCUGCUUUUUGUUUGUUUGUUCCAGUUAUGGACUCGAUGUGAAUAUCGAUAGAGCUGAAGAUGUUCUGUUGCAUCAAUCCCUUCUUGCUUUGGCAAAGGACCCUCACAAGCGCCCUGUAUACCAUAUACGCUUCCUUGAGGUACUAUUCUUCCUUACUUUGCUGUUGCUAACUCCAUUUCAACUAGCUUAGGAUCAUUCCGGAUUCAUUUUAAUUAGAUUCAAUUCCCAUCAUUUCUGUUUAUGUAUUUCGAUUUCGAAUAGGAUUUUUAUGAUUGGUCAUGUUUGGAUAAGCUUCUCGGUAAACACGUUAUAGGAAAAGUGUUGGAGUGUAGGUGAAAGGUGAAGUCUCACGUUGAGUAGAAAUGAGAAAUUUGAACACCAUAUAAGUGAUAUAAGUGAGGAGAAGACCCAUAAACCUGAGUCUUCUUAAGGUUUUGAGUUAAAGUGUGGUAUCAGUUCGCUUGUAUGGUGUGCUCGAGGUCUAUGGGUGUAAAUCUCCCCGGUGUUUAUCCCGAUGCACAACAAAAAGAAUUCUAUCAUAUUUCUUUCAGUUUUUCAUGUCUAUCAAAUUUACUUCUUCUCUCGAUUUGCUGGGCAGAAUAUUUCAACUAGAACAGAUAGUGAAGAUCAACAAAUUUUAAGUACUCAUUAUAGCCCAGGAUCAUCUUCCCAUGCAACAAAUGGGGGAGCUGUAUCACCUGGUAAAAGGUAUGCUAUCCAGCGAACAGUGAAAUAUACUAUAUAUGUAUGCACAAGCAUUUUACAGGAAGGUUUCUGGUAACUGUUACUUAAAAUAUCAAUUCUGUAUCUUUGUAAUUUAUUAUUUAUUUAUGCAAUGUAAUAUAAUUAUAUAAUUUCCAUCAGUAAGAUGAGGGAUAUUGCAAAUGAGUUUGAGCCUUGCUCGAAGCUUGAGGACCUAAAUUUGGAUGUUAGAAAGAACUCAAAGGAGACAGAGGAAAAAUUUCUCUCUGACAAUUUUUUCCAGAGGUACCACCUGAAUAAAGUUACAAUGCUGUUUCUUACUUUUCUUUUAGUUUUUGAAAUAGCAGUGUGACAACUUUUGUUAAAACCGGUAGCCAUGGCUGCAAAUUUUUUCUCUUUGGAGAGCAGGAAAGUAGACUUCUAUCUGUUGCCAAAAUUUAUGUUCCAAACAUUUAUUUUUAUGAAUGCGUGUAUCUUUCCACAUUUGAAAUUGAAGUAGUACACUGUACACCACUUGCACGCCAAAUGUUACCUGAAUAUCUUUUCUUGUGGUAAGUAAGUUAAACAUUGCAAUUUAAAAUGCAGGCUUGAACAUUCAAGUGUCCCCGUUCAUGAAAUAAUAUUUUCCACUGUUGACAAGCCAAAGCUGUUAAGCCAGGUAUGUUUGAAGAGUUUAUCUUAUCUGUUGUUUUUUGUUAAAACUUAUAUCUGUUGUUCUUAAAAUAAUAUAUGUUGGAGGAAGUUGUCAAGAGAGGUUUCAGGCUAAGCAAUUUGAUUUUUAACUGUGCCAAAUGGCAUAAUGUGAUCCAUGCAACUGACCUCACUUAGUAGGAUAAGGCUUUGUUGUAAAUUAAUUGAAAGUUUGAAACUCCCAGAGAUAAUGAGCUAAAAUUUUUCAAUCUACUUAGGUCAUGAUAUAUAGGUUUAUUUUCCUCAGUAUCAACUUAAUGAAACAAAAACUUUCCUCAAAAUUAGAAGGUAUUUAAUAACUAGAGAUUUAUUAAGCAGUUUUGGAGUGUGUUGUCAACUUUUCAUAUGAAGCAUAGAUAAAGUGAAGCCAAUAGAAGCUAUAUGAAAGACUAUAUGGAAUAUUGGAUACCAAUGUUAUAAUGCAUAGUUUUGUUGUAUCAUUGUUUUCUGGAUACUGACUAGUGAUUUGUAUUAUUGUAUAUGUUAUUCCUGUAUUCAUACAUAAUCCAAAAACAUUAUGUAAAAAAUAGUUUGAGGGUGUAAACUGAAUAACUGGAGUGGAUUUUACGUAAGAUCUUGAGAGUGGAAAUCAGGGCAUUCUCUUGUAUGAAGUGUAUAUGUAGCUUCAUUCUGUUGAUAUAAUCAAGUGCGAGGUUCUAGUUUGUUAAUGCCUGACAAUAUAAUUGAUGGAUAGUGGAUUGCUUUUUGACGGAUAUUAUUUUCUUUUAGCUGUCCGCUUUGCUGUCUGAUAUUGGACUUAACAUCCGUGAAGCUCAUGUUUUCUCCACAACUGAUGGCUAUUCCCUUGACGUGUUUGUGGUGGAUGGAUGGCCAGUAGAGGUACACUGCUGCUUAUUGUGAUGCUAUUUGCUUUCCCCCAAAGACCUCUGCAAAGUUGUAUCUUUGAAAGCUGUCAUUUCAUUAAUGUUAAUUUUACAAUGGCAUUUGUGUUAUUGGCAUGUUGCAAACACUUCAUAACUGUUAAUUGAUUAUAAUUUUGUACUUGGUGGUUGAACUCUACUACAAUUAUCUGAGCUUUGAUUUGAUGGCAGAUUAGGUAAGAUGACAAUUAUUGAUACCCACAAAGGUUGUUGCAGCUGCAUUUUUUUUAUAAAGAAAAUAUUUUCUUAUCACAGUUUUUAAUUCAGACAAAAAAUGGUCUAUAUCGGGAGUCAAGCUUGUAGGUUAUUAAGAUUAAGAUUUAAGGGGCACUGUUAUUAUAUUUCUCUUAUGACAGGGAUGUGUGCUGAGUCCAAAUGUUGCUGACUUUGCAAUCUUGUGCUCAGGAAACAGAUGAUUUGUAUGAUGCUAUGGAAAAAGCUGUAUCAAGAAGCGAGGUGCAUUGUGUCCUUGACUUUGUAUCUACACAUUCAUAUGUUGGUUUUGUGUGAGAUGGAAUUAUAUCUCUGAAGAAUGAAUGAAUAAUUCUUGUAUUUCCUGGAAUGUAGUUUAGUAACGCGUACUUAUAAGAUUGUAAUCAAUAUUCUUCCUUUCUCUAGGGAUCAUGGUCUCGUUCUUUAAAAUCUCAUUCAGCUGUGGAGAAAGCCUUAGCAACAGAAGGAAAAUCAGGAGAUUGGGAAAUAGAUAGGAAGUUGCUAAAGUUAGGAGAAAAAAUAGCAUCUGGAUCCUCUGGAGAUUUGUGAGUUGUGUUGUUUUACCAUUAAUUGUUUGUGUAUUUCUUUUAACUUGAUUUUCUUUCUCUUCCCUAUCGUAAUAUAUAUCUUGUUUUUAAUUUGCUUUAUGAUUCAUACUCAGGUAUCGUGGAGUUUAUCUCGGUGAAGAUGUUGCUGUUAAGGUUCUGAGAUCGGAGCAAUUGAAUGAUGCCUUAGAGGAUGAGUUUGCUCAAGAAGUGGCAAUUCUGAGGUCAGUACUUGGCUGUUUGGAGGUUAAGACCAUACUGCAUAUCAUAAUAUGUUUUUGCAAUUAAUCUUUCUUAUGAAUUCACUUUCUAAAUGAUUAUCAAACAUUUUUUCUUGUGUUGUACAGUUGAAUUUGUUGAGCAAUUAUUAUGUUCUCUUUUUCUUGAGGAAUAUAUAUUUAAAUUGAAAUAUCAACUCUAGUACCAACUACCAAGUUUUAAGAAGUGGUUAAGCAUGACAAAAUUAUCAGUCUCAGUAAAUUGCUUAGUUGGCUUCAUCCUUGCAUCUGUUUACUUGGUUCUUGAGGGAUUGGAUGUCUGUAUGCUAGAAACUUUUGACAAAUGAUGUCAGUUGUAGCAUCCUUACAACUGCUUAUUUCUCAAUUGAUGUUUUCUAAGCUGGGAUUUCUCAUCUACUAAGUUUUAUCCUGCCAUUGCUUUUGUUUAUAUUAAUUACAGUCUUGCAAGGAUUUGCUUAUACAUCUUUAGGACAUAAAUUUAAAGAUAAAAUGUAUCACUCACUUUCUCAUUUAGGUUCUGUCAAUAUGCUUUUUUCUUUCCUGAAAAUCUUUUGACAAUUUGACUUCUGCAUUUCUGAAUGCAGGCAGGUGCAUCAUAAAAAUGUUGUUCGUUUCAUUGGUGCAUGUACAAAGUGUCCACAUUUGUGCAUAAUAACAGGUAUAAAUCAAUCCAUUUGGUUCUGCAGAUAUAUUGUCAUAUAUUAUCCUAUUUAAUGUGGAAACAAUAAGCUAUCCUUAUUAAACGAUGUUUUAUGUUUCUAAAGAUUAUUACAAUCUCAUCCCUUAAGUUUGAGGUUCAAAACAAGAAAAAUAGAUACCAUGUCCGCCUGGCCCUUUCUAAUAGAACAAUGAUUGCUGAGGAAGAACUAUUGGUAGGACUUUUUAUUUAUGAGUUAGUUUCACAAUAAUGUUUAUCAGAAUAUUUUAGUCAAUUAUCAGAAAAAAUGGUAUGUGAUGACAGUUAAUUGACACAAGUAAAAAAAUUAUAAAUAAAAAAAGAAAUUCUAGAGAGCACCAUGUGUGAAGUUCUAUGAAACAUUUGAACGCCAUAUAUAAGGGGAAUUGCUAAGUGCUAACCUCCACACAUUCAUGGGUAGAUUAGCAUUCUCCACAUUUUUAGACUAAAAACUUUGCCAACCAAAUUUUAAAAAGUGAAUAAUGAUACCAUUUUAUUUGUUUUGAAAUUCAAUUAAUAUUUUAGCUUCUUUGUUACUACAAAUUUCUUUCACCUAUUUUCUCUCAAUAGUUAUUAUUUGUUUGUAUCAUCUCUCCUUUGUCAGUAUUACUAUCUCAUUUGUACCAGAAAGAAAAGGCUGAGGUUUAGUAAAAUGGGAAAGAUGUUAAUUUGUGUGUGUAUAUAUAAAUGUAUGUAUGUAUUGUGUACAUACAUAAAUACAUAAUAUGAUUGAAUAUUAUAAAAAUUUAAAAAUUAAUUUAUUUUGAUUAUUACUAUCUCAUUUUGAAUAUUAAGUUUGUAUUGAUAUAAAGUUAAAACGUUGAUAAUUAUAAAUGCUUAUUUUUACAGAUUACUUUUCUAUUAUAAUUCUGAAUUAAUUACAAAUCAUUUCUAUACUUGUUCCGUUUUUAAUAUUGGGCAGUAUGCAUUUUAGUCAAAACUAUUCUUUAGUUGUAAACAAUAUUUUCUCUUAUUAAAUAAAUAAAUUGUGCUUUGUUUAAUGUAGUCAUUAUCAAUUGUCAAUUCAUUAUUUAUUAAAUACAUGGAGUUUUUUGCAAUUUUAAAUAUUUAUAUUUCUUGUACUAUAUACUUGCUUAUGCAUCCAAAGCUUGUGGUCUGGACUUAUUUAGCUUAAAGUGCAGUAGUUGUUUUUGCAAGACCGUCAAUGUUAGACUUGUUUUCUUAAACACAAAAAUGGUUUGAUCAGAUAUACAAUUAGUCCUAUACUGGUGUGUGUAACUAUCUUGUAGGAGUUACGAAUUGGAUCUUUACAAGUUUAAGUGUUUUCUGUCUUAAAUGUCUAGUGCCUUUUGGUUCUAAGUAGUAUGGUUUUUCUUCUGAUCACUUGACCUUGUGCUAAUAUGUUCAUCAUUUAGUACUUUUCAGGGGAUUUAUUAGCUCAAAACAAUGGUCAUCGCAACAUUUUCAAUGUGACUAUGCAAAUCAAUGUUACGGGACUUAGAAGGUUUCUAAAUGUCAUGCAAAUUGUUCCUCCAUUGUUGUAAUUAUGGGAUUGUGGAUCCCAUGUCUAAGGCAAUCUUCCUCUAUAGCUGUUUUAUGAUAUCAAGAAAAGUUGUUUGAAAAUCAAGUUAAAAAACAUCCAUUUCACCAAUUCAUGUCAUUAGAUAUUAAUAUCUUGUGGAUAAAAUGUUCCUUAAUGUUUGGGUGUCAAGCUUAGGAUUAUUUUCCUAUGUGCCUGUGUCACUGCAAAUGUAUUAUCCAUUGUUUGUUGAUUCUGGACUAGUUCACUUCAUUGCUAUUGUUCAUCUACUCUAGUGAACUCAACCUACUAAAUGAUUUGGGAUUUAAAUUCCUCCUAAUGAUGUUGGAUGCAAAACUAAAUUAGUUAAAUAAACUUGCUACAUCAAUCUCUAUUUCCCUCCUUUUGAAAGAUUGCCUAACUGAAUCUACUCAGUCUCAUGAUGCACCAUUAUGCUGAUGGUGUUAUAUGUCAUCAUUCAUUUUUCCAACUUGUGAUGCUUCUUCUAGACCUUGUGUCUUCAAGUAUUUGGAAGAAUGCUUUAGUUCAAAUAAUUAAAUUCAUAUAAUCUUGGGAACACGUAAAUUGAUUACUUAAAAGCUGGUCUCCUCUCCUGUUUAUUGUUCAACUUGUCUUUUCUUUUGAAUUUAUUCUAUCAAAAUAUUUUUUAAAGUUUGUGCUCUUCUUUGCAGAGUAUAUGCCCGGAGGAAGUCUGUACGAUUACGUGCACAAAAAUCAUAAUGUCUUGGAGCUGUCUCAAUUACUAAAAUUUGCAAUUGAUGUCUGCAAGGGUAUGGAGUAUUUGCAUCAAAGCAAUAUAAUUCACAGAGAUCUGAAGACGGCUAAUUUGCUGAUGGAUACACACAAUGUAAGAAUUUAUUGAAAGUUUGAAACUACUAAUUUUCUACUCUACAACAUCACCCAUACUAAAAUGGGUGUUACCUUGUAUGGAAGCAUCAUUAAUGAACCAGAUAUUUGCUAUUAUCUUUGUUUGUGUGUAUUUUUAACCAAUAAAUUCAUUUCAGUUGUAAUUGUGUGACAAAUUAUCCACAGGUUUUCUGAAUAAUUCACUGAAGUAUGAAUGUAUGAUAAAUAAUAAAACUUUUAUAAUAAACUGUAAUACAAAGGUUUAAUUGACAUUAUGAUUCACCCAAUGCUCAUGACAAAUAGCAUACGUUGAAAAUGUGAUAUGAAAGUAGCAAAUGCUAAAACUUUCAGAAACAAUGGAUAAUGGUUUAUUUUUUUUCAAUGAACUGUUGUUGCCACUGCUGGAUCUUUUAAAUUUUCUUGAUGUGACUGACAAUAACAUUUAUUUUGUUUUGGAGUUGCAUUUUAAAAUUUUUUUAUCAUUAAGUUUUUAAUAUUUUUUCCUUUUCCAAUUAUUGUUAUCCAAUUAGGUUGUUAAAGUCGCAGAUUUUGGAGUUGCUCGGUUCCUAAAUCAAGGGGGAGUGAUGACAGCAGAAACUGGGACAUAUAGAUGGAUGGCACCAGAGGUUCGUUACUUGAAAAGAAAAAGACAAAAUAUACUGUUGUGCUUUUUUAUAUUUUCAUAUCAAUGUUAAUGUCUAAGUAAUAGAUUUUGUAAAGCUAAGGGUGCUGGGCUAUUAAUAAUUAAUAUUGGUAUGUUUACCUAUCUGUUACCUUUUUUAUUAAGCUUUUGUUGUUUAUUAUAAGAAGAGAUUUUAUUAGGGGGAAGAGGAGGUCCCAAAGAAUGAAAAAAAUAAACAUUUAAGAAAAUUCAUUUAUUAAUAUAAAAGAGCUCUCUAAUUUCUCUGAAAAUAUGUUAAUGAGAUUCCCUGGAUCAAAGAAACCUUGCCAUGUGGUCAGCACUCAGCACCAAAGUGAGAACAUAAACACAAUCCUAUCUAAUAAUAAUAAAUAAUAAAUAUAUACACGUAUAUCUCCUUGGUGUCCAGAAUACACGUAUAUCUCCUUGGUGUCCAGAAUACACGUAUAUCUCCUUGGUGUCCAGAAUACACGUAUAUCUCCUUGCUCAAAACUCUCCCACCCUGGGUUCAGCAACAGGCCAAAAUCCUUAUUCCUAACAAAGUGUCAUCUGGGUUCAGCAAUUUCUGAAUUAGCCAAGUAGGAGAAAAUAUGAUGCUGUUUUACUAGCCAUCUUUAACAAUUUCAGCUUUAAUCAUAAUGCCCAUGAUAGUCAUUUUACUUUCUCUUCGUUUUUGUUAAAUUGAGUAUAUUAUUCUUUUUUUUUUUUAAAGUUCGAAGAAGUCCAUUAUGAAAAGAGAAAGAGGUUUAAAAUCGACACAUUGAUUCCUUUUUUGCUUAUAUGAUUUUUGGUGAACUGUAUGCAUCAAAAAGUGCAUGUACGGCUCUAAAGGAAAAAAAUCAAAUCCUAAUCAAUCGACUUUAUCGAGAAAGAUUACUUUUUUUAGGUCAAGAGGUUGAUAGUGAAAUAUUGAAUCAACUAAUUAGUCUUAUGGUAUAUCUUAGUAUAGAAGAAGAGAAUAAAGAUUUGUAUCUGUUUAUAAAUUCUCCAGGGGGUGGGUAAUACCUCAUUUUACUUUCUCUCCGUUUUUGUUCUGCCUAAACCUAAGAUAGAACGAAAAGAAACAGGCAGAAGAAAUGAACAUUCGAAAUCUCUUUUGUAUGGAUUUCUCACCAGCACUAGGCGUAAUUGCCAUGUGUUAUUUUUAUUUUGUUCAGGUUUUACUUUAAGUAUCUUACUGUUAAUGGAUUUUUUCACAAGGUUAUAAAUCAUCAGCCCUAUGAUCAGAAAGCAGACGUAUUCAGUUUUUCCAUCGUACUGUGGGAAUUAGUGACGGCAAAGGUAAAUAGCUCGAAAUGGAUUAUAAUAUUGUAUUCUCUUAUCAUAUUCCUUUACCGUUCCUUGAACUGUAUGAUUUUUUAUAUAUCAAGGGAAUUGUUGUAAAAAUAUUUAUAUUUUUUCAUCUUGUAUUUCAGGUACCAUAUGACACCAUGACUCCACUACAAGCUGCCUUGGGUGUGAGACAGGUUUGCUAUUUAUUUAUCAUUAUGAUUUAAAUGUUAAGGCAUACAUAAAUUAUUGCUCUAUUUGACAAUUGACAGUUAACUUUUGUUUGUAGCUUCAAUAUGUCUGACAAAUAAAACUUGGGUAUAGGAUUUUUUUUUCAACAGAAAUAAUCAUGCUACCUCAGUGAAUGAAUGCAUGCUUAUGAGAGCAUAUUUGCAGUAAAGGUUUAGUUUGAAGUGUUGGACCUAUAUUCAUGUUAUGGGAGUGUGUAAGUUGAAGUUCAUAACUAGGAUCGAUCACUUUGUAUCUGACUCAGCUGUAAUGCUGUACAUCCUUCAGGGUCUGCGGCCAGAACUUCCGAAGAAUGGGCACCCUAAAUUAUUAGAGUUGAUGCAAAGAUGUUGGGAAGCAAUUCCAAGCCACCGUCCAUCCUUUAAUGAGAUAACUGCUGAACUUGAAAAUCUUUUGCAAGAAAUGGAGGUAAAUUAUAUUAUUAUUUAUUAAAAAUUAGGACAAAUUGCAUUCAUACUCCCUAAACAUAAGUGACAUUGCACCCAAUAUCCUUCCCUUUUCCAUACAGGGACUUUAAUUAACAAAUUAGGAUAGGCUUAUGUUAAUAGAAAGAGACAUUGUUAUAUCAAGUAAUUGUGGAAAGUUUGCGUUGGGUCAAAAGAGGGAGAGACAUCUGGUGCAAUUUCACUUUAGUUUAAAUAAUUUUCCCUAAUAAUUAUUUUAUCCUUUUUGUUUUUUUGGUAAACAUUUAAUUUAGAUGGCCUGAUUAUAGUUUAUUAUGUGCAAAUUGCAGAAAGAUUCAGAAGCGAAUGGUGCUUGACAUUUUCAGCACAAACUAAUAUAUUCCAGUUAUUUUACACGGUGGGAUGGAUCUGACUUUUUUUUCCCUUCCUCUGGCAGCUGUAGAGUUUUUUUCACGUUCCCUUGUGGCACCGAGGGAGAAAGGAGUUCACAGAAAUCGUGACCAAUACAAAGUGAGAAAAUGUAAAGAGGCAUACUAAUGUUAUAGCUGACUAUACUUAAAAUAUAUAUCCCAGGAUCACGUCAAACUUCUCCGAAAUUAUUUUGAUUCGAGGAAUGCGUUCCACGUGGCUAUUGAUGUGUUCUGGUAGCCAAAAAGAAACAUAGUUGACGUAAAAUCAAUGAAGUGUAUAGUGAGGGUAAUGCUGUUGAGCUUUAAUGUUUCAUUUUUUUUCUUGGGGUCAAGUAUUGAGAAUUUUAUGUUUUGCACUGUAAAUUAAUGACAGGCAUGGACCGAUGAGACCAGGUAUCUAAACUAUUUUAAUGCAAAGUGUUACCUUUGCCUUAUUAUUCAUAUACAUGUUCUCAUAAUUAGGUGAAUUUUAUGUGAGAUUCAUCAAAAAGUCUUGUUAAUAAUUGUUUUAUUGGAAAUUUAAUUUAGAAAUCAUGCAAGAGGUAUGUUUUUUUUACAUAUUUUUUCCUUUAGAUUUCAAACAACCUUCACUACAAAAGGACUGAGAUUUACAUCUUACAUAGAUUUCACCCAAUAAAAAUAGUUAUGCUGAUAGUUGAUGCCAAUUGUUUAACUUAUGUUGGAGUUAAAUUUUUCUGUUUAUUGAAAAGAUGACCAGUAAAAAGAUCAUCGAUGGCUUGAGGCGCAUAACCCCACACGUAGGUAUGAUUGUUAGUUGUUACAACCAGACGAACUUUGCAAGUGAAAGUGAGAAUGAAGUACGGUCUUCGUCGAUAGCAUUAAUGGCGCGGUUAAGUUUUNNNNNNNNNNNNNNNNNNNNNNNNNNNNNNNNNNNNNNNNNNNNNNNNNNNNNNNNNNNNNNNNNNNNNNNNNNNNNNNNNNNNNNNNNNNNNNNNNNNNUGUAUGUUUAUUAGCAUUUUUUAUUUAUGUAUCUAUUUUCAUAAAUGAUAUUAUUAAUUUUUAUUUUUUAAAAUAGAUUGUUUCAACCGACUUUGGUCUUUGAUUCGCCACUAAGUGUAUGUACGAUUGUGAUAGAAGACAUAAUUAUGAAACACCUAGAAGGCUAGAAGAUUUAGUGUUAGAUGUUUGCAAUCUGGUGGCUAGUCCUUGAGUGGAUGUGCAAUGCUCAUUGUCUUAUCCUUUUUCUGUCAAAGGCAAUCUAGCAAUGUUAAUGUCCAUUUAUAAAUUAUAUAUUACUUAUCCAUCAAAUUAACAAAAUAUGUUUUUAAAAUGUGAAAAAAUAAGGAUCAUUUGACUGUAUUAUCAUUGUUGUUUAUUUUUUACAAGUCACCAAAUGAUAUAGACUGAUAAAAAAAAAGAGAAUGUGGAAACUGGAAAACUUUCUAUGUAAACUAACCGAAUGAUAUAAAGUUCAUGAUUUGUUAUAACAUUCAUAUUGUACUUUUGAAUUUGUUACAACACUUGAUAAAAUAUCUUACUCGUAAUUUUUUAUGCAUGAUAUAAAACAACUGAAAAUAUCUUUAAAGUGUUUUUUCUUUUUCUUUUUUACAAAUUAAAGUGUUCUUUUCUUAAAAGAGUAAUAUUGUCACGAAAUAAUCUUAAAGCAUCGACGUUUUGAUACUUUUUGAUUAGUUCUCUUAUGCUAUGACCCUAAAAAUUUAUGCCAAAACUAAAAUUUUAAAUUUAAUAAUUUAUGAAUAGGAAUUUUAAUAAAUUUGUACAACGUGAAAACUGGGAAGUUAUCGGUACGUGUGAUGUGGACAAAGCUUUAUACAGAGACUGCUAACCAAUAUGGGAUUUUUGGACAAAAACUCUUUGCAACAUCUGAAUAGAGUAAUAAAAAAGGAAAAAGAAACAGAAAUUGAAUUUUGUGAAAUCUAAGUAUCUAACAAGUAAAAACUAUAUAAACUUUUACUGUCCUCUGCCCCAGGAAGAUAUAGGAUAAAAUUCAAAUCCUGUGGGCUGGAUACCAGAUCACGUCCAAAUUCAUUUAUUUGCUGGGCCCAAUUACAAUGAUCAAAAUUCAAUAGAAAAUAAAUAUAUAGUGCUUUAGUGUACCAGAUGAAUACUCGCAAGCUUUCUGUCCAGAUACAUAUUCCGGUUUCAUUUCAAUCAUUUGAAUUAACUUUUUUUAUUUUAACAAAGCUCGUUCACUUGAGUGAUUUCAUUUUCUUCUUCUGAUUUGAAGUUUCCAAAUAAAACUGAUUGUGUUUACAGAUCGAUGGUUUAUCACUUUAGCUAAAAUUUGGUUAACAAAUUUAAUAUCAUGUUGCAGUUUAAAACAAGUUUAAUAUAAUGCUAAAAGCUAGCGUUUAUUAUUUUAUUUAUUUUUGUUAUAAAUAUAGUUAAAAGUCACAAAACUAAUUAUAAGCCUUUUUGACACUAAUGAAUUUUUGGGAACUAACUCACAUAAACUUUUUUUAUAUAAGCAUUUAUUAUAUCAUAUAUUGAAUUGAAUUAAUAAUGCAUCCCUAAAAAUGUAAUUUUUGAAUUAAGCAUCCUUUAGCUUAAACAUAUUUUUAGGUAGUGUUACUUAAGUGAAGUUUAAUUUUUUAAUGUUAUGAAUGAUUAAUAUUAUGUAUUUUUGUUUAAUUUUAGUUAAUAUGAUUAUAAAAAGGUUCAUGUUGCAUGAGAUAUUUAUUUAAAAUAAUACGUAGAUUUUCAAAUAGAGUAAUUACAAUUAUUUUAAAAUAAAUACCUCAUACAAUAUGAACUGAGACGAGAAAGUGCAAAUAAUACAUUUUCUUUGGCAAUGUUGAAACUUGGGGCACGUGGAAUGAAAUGGGACAGACCCAUGUUACAACUUACAACUUGCUCCAUUAUUGGGGGCAAAGAUCCAUGCUCAUUUAUCAUGACGUAAAUAUAAUUUUUUUUUAUUAGCAUUUUGAAUAUUUAAUUUUUUUCUUCUUCUUCUAUGAAACAAAGAAUUAACAUCCGUGUUACUUUUGUUUAUUUUAAAAAAUCAUUAUUUUAAUAAUUUUAAAAUUGGAAAAAAUUAUGUACCGAAAUUAAUUAAUCAUUUUGCAAGCACUAAAUCAACUGUAUGUAAUUGGUAUGGUAUGUAUAUUAACAUUAAGUUUAUGUGAUUCAAUCUUGGAUUUGAGUUUUAUUAAUUAAAAAGAAUUCUUUUAUCAAAAGUGAUUAUAAAUAUUUUGAUAAAGAUUAAUUUUUAAUAAAAUUGAUAAAUUAUUAAUGUCCAUAUCAAUUGAUUAUAUAACAACCAACUUAAUACGUAGGAAAGAUGUUGCCAAACAAAUGUGAAGUACUAUUAGAAGGGCCAUCUGAAAUAAUAAAAAAAAAAAGAUAAAAACUAGAAUACGUAAUAUAUAUAUUGGCAUGGAUAAUGGAUGCCUCAUGCCAAAACGAUAUAUAUAUAUAUAUAUAUAUAUAUAUAUAUAUAUAUAUAUAUAUAUAUAUAUAUAUAUAUAUAUAUAUAUAUAUAUAUAUAUAUAUAUAUAUAUAUAUAUAUAUAUAUAUAUAUAUAUAUAUAUANNNNNNNNNNNNNNNNNNNNNNNNNNNNNNNNNNNNNNNNNNNNNNNNNNNNNNNNNNNNNNNNNNNNNNNNNNNNNNNNNNNNNNNNNNNNNNNNNNNNAAGGAAUUGAUGAUGAUCUCCAACCAGACACAUGCUGUUUCUACGUGGGCAUGUUUGUGAUGAGCACUUGUCUGCAGUCAUAAACUAUAUAGAAAACGAUUUCUUAUAAAUGUUUUUUCUUCUUUUUAUUCUAUUAAUAAAUAGGUUAUAUAUAUUCCUACUUUUAUUUUAUCCCUCCCUGGUCGAGUAGUGGAGCAGCAAAUUUGUAAUCUGCAUUAACUACUAUGAUAAAGUAUAUCAGGGUUAAGGAAAAUGCUAACAAUGUUACGAAUAGUUAUUUUAAUUGUAAUAUAAAAAUAAAAGACGAGUAUUUAAAAAUACUAGUUUUAAAAUUUUUAGAUUUAAUUUAAUUCAUAAAAUAUUAUCUUAAUAAUUUAAUUUAAAUAUAAUGUACUGAUAUAAUAUUUUUUAUAUUGUACAUCCAACAAAAAAUUGUUAUUUUAUAUAUAUAAGUUUGUGAACUUUUAUAGUAUAUAUAAUAAUUACCUUAAAAAUUAUUUCAAUGGUAAUUAUUUCUUAUUAGUGACACUAUAAUUUUUUUAAUAUUGAUAAUGUUAAUUAUAUGAAAAUAAGUAUAAUUAAAAAUGAAAAAAUAUCCUUUAAUUAAAUAUGAAGUUAAAAUUAUGAAUUUAACAUUGAUUGUGAAUAAAAAUAUUAACUCAAGUGUUCUGGAUAUAUAAAGAGAACACAUAUGUAAAUUGUCUCAAUUUAAAAAAUAAAGACUCAAAAUAUUUAUUAUACAAGGAAAUAUUCUUACACUACAUCGGUAUUGGUAAAUACAUGUGAAAUAGAAAAGGAUAAAUUGAAAACUUUAAGAAAAUAUUAUUUUAUUGGCAAUCAAAACAUAAAAUUAAUAUAUUUGAACAUUUUAAUUUUAAAAAUUUUAAACUUAAUUUAAUUAAUGGAAUAUUAUUUUCAUUAUAAUUUAUAAUUAUCUUAUUAUAUUUAACAUUAAUUAAAAUAAAUAAAUAUUGACUAAAAUAUUUAUAGUGUUUGAUUUUGAGAUAACUAAAUAAAAUGAAGAAUAUUGUUUGAUAUAAAAAAGUCAAUAAAAUAUGUGUCAAAACAUAAAAUAAUGUGAUUGUAUAAAGGAAACAUGUUGUGGGAUUAUAAUCAAUUGAAAAAGAAAGUAACUAAUAAGCUAGCUUUUUAUUAUUAUUUUAUUUCAACCAUAUAACCAUGUCCUUAACUUAACAAAACCCAUGAAUUCCUCUGUACAUUUAUUUAUUUUUAAUUAAAAAUUACACCAAUUGACCGAAAUCCACACAAUCUACCACAUUGCCCUCUUUUCUUAGUUACAGUUUAAUGUUAUAUAUAACUCAGAAAAGAGACCACAAAGAAAAUAAUUUAGCAGACCUACAAAAUAACAUGGCCAUGAAGAAUAUGCCAAGAUCUCUCCAAUAUAUGAUUUUGAAACUCAACCUAGUUCGUUCAAUUUGUCUGUAAUCCAAGUUUUUCUAUGGUUCGUUUUUCUUUUCACAUUCUCUCUACCACAUGGCUUUUGGAUCAAGCAGACCCCAUCUCCCACUAUAUUUUGUAUCCUCUUUUUUAUUUUUCCAUCACCAUUAUUCUUUUCAUGCAUCUCGGUAGUAAUCGCUUUCACAUAGCUACUGCAUGUGUUAUUCUCAAAAGUUGUAGAAUAUAAUGCCAAGGAGAAUUAUGAGACAUUGGAUAGGACAAAUUCCACACAUAUCACAUGCAUGGCACACAAAUGGACUAAGAGUGUUUUGAAUCCCAAAGAGUAAUAUUGGUAUAUACCUAAUAAACUUGUUAUAUAUUGGCCAACUUAUUGACAAUAUAUGUGGCAAAAUACAUAGAGAUUUAUCUGUCCACUCAAAUACUAAAGUUAUCAAUUAUUUGAUCUGUGUGAUUUUUUUAUCCUUCCGUAAAUUAUUGAGAUGGCAGUCAUUAUUUUUAAUAUUUGCCGCUUUACUCAACUACAUUGAGGGAAAAAAAACAUCUUGACUUUCUUCUUGAGUUGGAUUUUACGUAUUGUAAUUUUCUCUCUCUGCAGAAUGAUUAUAAAAGAUAUUUGUGUUUGUGGAUAUCAGUGCAGAAAAAUGCAUUGAAAAACAUCACUCCAAAAGUUGUGAUUUUCUUUUACUGACAUUUUACCCAAUUUUGAAAAAAAUAAUUAAGAAGAGAUGCUAGUAACUUCUAAUUGACAUGACCACACAUCAUAAAGCUCAAAUAAGAGAAUUAGAGUAUCAAUAUAGUAAAUCAUUAUAUAUAUUUGAUUAAAAUGAUAAAGGAUGAUUUACAGUAGGUGUAAGUGCUCUAUAUAGAGAGAGCUUGUUUCUAAUAAGCUAAUAUUUAAUCUUAAAAGUUAAGAAAACACUUUGCCAAUAUAAAUCGUGCAUCAGGGGGAUCACAAGGGACUGCAAACUCCAAUUGUUAUAAACAGCAGGGUCAUUCUUUAAUUAUUUACAAAUAAAUCUGUUAAAACUAAUUUAAAUUAUUUAUAAUGAAAUUCUAUACAAUUUUCCAAUUUAUAUGGGAAGUUGCCGAAAGCCCAAGAAAUGCUUCAGUAUGAUUGGUUUCUCAUCCUAGAGCCUAAAAUAAUAAGAAGUUAUAUAUUCUUUUUUCUUCACUUUGAACUUGUUUACAACUUGAGAUUAAUGAGAAACCAAUCACACUGAAAAAAGGUAUUUACAUUAAGGAAAGGAGAGAAUGUGACCAGUAAAGAUACUAGCUUCUGGCUUAUUCUAUUCAAUUAAUAGCUCAAAUUGCAACUUGUGUGCAAGACCUAAUUUUUAUUAUCUCUUUUCUGUUUUCUUUCUCCAUUAUACUAAACAAGAGAAAAGCUGCUUUUUCUAUCCACUUUGUCUCCUUUUUCCACCAAAACCAAACUGCAUUUUAAGUGUAAAUCUUGACAAAAAUUUGUUAUUUCUUCUCAAAGAGUUUACGUGAUUUUUGGUUGGUGGGGUCUUCUCUCACUGAUUUGACAUUAAAAAAUGCAACAUAAUUGUACAAUGACAUGCAGGUUAAUUUAUAUUUUUUAAAAAAAACUGUAUUUUCACAGACACAAUUUUUAUAUCGCGUAUUUAUCAUAAUUCUUUGCUUUUAAUUAUGUGGUAGAAUUGUUAUUAAAUUAAUUAUCAAAUUUACAAACGAAAAAUAUAAGAAUAGUAAGUGCAUUAUAUUUUACCAUUUUCCUAUUGAUUACAUGUGAUUAUGUCUGCCACACACUUGGAACAUUGAAGCUUGUAAUGGAAGGAUCGAGAAAAUAAGAUAAACAAUUUUAAAAUGUGUCCUCCCCACAUACACUAGGUCAGUUUAGUUUAAUGAAAGGGUCCCAUAUAUAUUGUAGCAGGUUCAUAUUUCCACAUUAUGAUGGAACCCUUGGACCCUACUAUAUCAGAUCAUGUCUUGCUUAUCUUUUCUUUCUUUUAUAUAUCCUCUUUUUUUUUUUUUUAUUCAGUUCUCGUUGCUUAUUAAGUAUUGUAAAUACUGUUUUUUUUUGUGCUCCUUCUAAAUACUGAUUAACAAAAUAAUAAUAAUUUAUAUAUAUUAAAAUUUACAAUAAAACACAUUUAUAUAUUUUAAUAAAAUUUUCAUUUAUAAUCCGUUAACUAAUAUUCUAAAUACACAUGUUAAUGUUAGCUUUUAUUCCAACAUAAGAUAUCACACAAAGAAUUAAUUAAAUGUUAAAUAUUAAAUUUUGGAGACAAAUGUCACAAUGAAAUGAUGGUUCGUGUCAACUGAGUUAUUAAUUUAAGAAUUAAAUGUAGAUACAGUCGAUUAGUUCUCUUUAUUAAUUGUGUUGUUAAAUUAUAUUUUAAAAAAAAAAUUAGGUUGUAUUUACUUUGUGUGAUAUCUUUCCGGUUUUGUAGAACAUAAAAAUGUAUACUACAUAAUUAAAAACAAUUAAAGAGAAUAAAAAUCUUAUUUAUUUGCAUCUAACGAUGUACUUACUUUAACGGAAAAAAAUAUGUAAUAUUUUUUAGAUUUUCAAAAUUUAAUGUAUAUAUAAUUACUUAUAAAAUUACUCUCUGUUCAUAUAUAUAAAACCUAAUUAAAUAAUUAAUUAAUAUUAAUAAAAAUAAUGUAUUUAGUUGAAAACAAUAAAUUUAUUUAAAAUUUAUAAUUUUUUCAAAAUUAUUUUUAUCAUUAAUAUUUUUUCUCUUCAAAUAAUUUAUUAAUAUAUAUAUAUAUAUAUAUAUAUAUAUAUAUAUAUUAUUUUAAUAAAAAAUAUUUCUGAUAUAAAAAUAAUUAAUAUAAGACAUCUUAUAAAAAAAACAAACAUCAUCUUAAAUUUUAAUCUUAUAAAUAGAAACGAAAAAAAUAUUUAGUUUAUUUCACUCCAAAAAUAUGAGUAGAGAUAUUCACACCCGUAUUCUAUCAACCAUCAUAUACUCAUAUAUGUGAGACUUUACUUUAUUCCACUUGAAAAAUCUCUUGAAAUUUAUAUAAUUUAGAAGUUAUUUUAAACAGGAAAAAAUCUAAAUUGAAUUGAGUAACUUUAUUUAAGAAAAUAAAUUAAGAAAAAUCUUUUUACAAUUCUUUCAUAUAUAAAACUUUCACUUUAACACCUUAUUUAAAGAAAAUUAAACUAAUUACUACUUAAAUAGACACACAUUCUUUGAGAUUAAAUGUAGGAUAAAUAUAAGUAUAUUUGUAAUUGUAAGUUUUUUUUAAGCCGUGACUUUCCCUUCCAUGAACUAGGGUCCCUCCCCCUGAAUUUUCAUGCACCACGCAUGUCUUUGCAAACUGCACUCCUAGUUCCUAAAAAUCUCAUAAUGAACAGUUCCACUUUGAGAAAGUAUAAUUGAUAAUAUUAUAUAAUAUAAACUUGAUGAUAUUUGACAAAAUACUAGUCCUGAAAAAACAAUUAAAAAAAUAUUUUUAAAAUAUUUAUAUUAGUAUCCUAUGUUGCAGUAAACCUUAUGAAUAAUUUAGAUUUUUCCACCCCCAAAAAAGUUAGAUUCUCUAAUUUUUUUUAAUAAAAUGAGUGCGAAAUUUUACCUAAUACUAAAAAAAAACUAAAGAUACUUUGUUAAAUAUUCUUCUAAAAAUAAUUAUGUACUAAUGAAGAAAAAAAAAUCUCCAGGGUGGGCAGCAAAUCUAAUAUUUUAUUUUGAUGUUUGUAAAAAAAAUUCCAACUUCUAAUAUUCAAAGUUGGAGAUAAAGAUUCCUUCAAUCGGGUCCAAAUCCGACUACAGUAUUGUGAUGUUCCAAACGGCCACCUAGAUGCAAACAUUUUUACUUCAAACAUUUUAAUCGUGUGUAUUGUGUAAUGUUACUAAGAAUAUUAUAUUAUUAUCACUUAACAGUUAAAUUCAAAUAUAAAUCAAUAUUAUAUAAAGAAAACCCUAUACAAAUAAUAAUUAAAGUACAAAUUUAAAAAAAAAGAAAAUAUUAAAUUCACUUAAUGAAUUCGAACUGAUGUAGCAACGAAGCACACAUGUCGUGAUUUCAUUAAUAUAAUAGUUUUUAAAAUUUGUUGUACAAUGGUUAAGAAAUAAAAAUAAUCGGUGUUUGGUCGACCCUGCACAUUUUUCUAAGGCAAAUACCAAUCGAUUUGAUAUUGGCCUUGUCAAGGCCAAUAGUAGUAUAUAUCUUACUUUUGAUGUUAUUCUUUCUAACGAAUAUAAAUAUAUAUUACUUUCGAUCCUUCAUAAAAAUGAGUAAUAUAUUUUUUUGUCCUAAUUAUAAAAGAUACAUGAUUAAUUCAAAUGUAUUAGUCGUUAAUUUUUAGAGAAUCAAUGUACAAUGAUAUAAAAAAAGGGUCUUGUAUCAAUUUACUCAUUUAUAUAUCAAUAUUAAACGUUGGUUAUUAGAUUUAUUUUUAUCGUAUUAUCCUAUAAAAAUUAUUAUCUUACUUUUGAUGUUAUUCUUUCUAACGAAUAUAAAUAUAUAUUACUUUCGAUCCUUCAUAAAAGUGAGUAAUAUAUUUUUUUGUCCUAAUUAUAAAAGAUACAUGAUUAAUUCAAAUGUAAUAGUUGUUAAUUUUUAGAGAAUCAAUGUACAAUGAUAUAAAAAAUGGGUUUUGUAUCAAUUUACUCAUUUAUAUAUCAAUAUUAAACGUUGGUUAUUAGAUUUAUUUUUAUCGUAUUAUCCUAUAAAAAUUAUUAUCUUACUUCAUAUGUCUCAAAAAAAGUAAUAUAUAUAUAUAUAUAUAUAUAUAUAUAUAUAUAUAUUUAUAUAUCUUUUUUUUUAAUUUUGUAAAUGAGUGUCAUAGAAAUAUAUUAAUUUAUUCAUUUUUACUUUUUAUUAUAUACUUUAAUUUUUAAAUCCGAUGAAUUGAACACUAAUAAUCUGUUUUAUGUUUGGUUUCAAGUUUAGAAGUCUUUACCUCUUAAGUCGAUGAAACUAUAUGUCUAUAUUCACGAAUUGGAAAAUUGUACAUCAAAAUGUAAUUAAAUUGUAAUACAAACACAUACUUAAAGAGUCUGCUUAAUAUAUACCACAUGAACUACGUUAAAUACCGAAAACCUAUGAGAGUGAGAUUGACAUUCAACAUGCCAAAAAAAAAAUACUACCAAACAUGUAAAAACACACAUUUAAUAGUUGGUGCUGAUGCACGGCAAAAGAAAUUAGUGCAAUAAAUACCUUUGGCAAUUAAUUCAAAACACUUGGUAUAACGAAUUGUGAGUAUGGCAAGUUUGUCAUCUGCUCUUAUUCUUCCUAACACGUUUGGACCCAUCUUAUCACAAAACAUUAUUAGAGGCCCUACCAUCUGAGGUAUCAGUUUUUAUUAUGCCACUUGACCCUUUUACUUGUUUAGGUUGAUGACUUUGGGAUGCUGAGAAUAGUGUUAAUUUGUCAUUUGUUCCAUAAUUUUUUUAAAUAAAAUUUAAAGUUAUUGGAUAUUCUAUUAAAUACAAAUACUUUAAUAUAUAUUAUAUAUAUUUUUAUAAUAUAAAUAAACUAAUAUUUUAGCCUAUGCAUUGCACAUAAUAAAUGUUUAUUGUAUAUAACUAAUAUUUAUAAUAAAUAAUUAUUUUAAAUACAUAAUUACAUUAUAAUUAAAAAUCAUAUCAUAAUAAAUAAAUUUUUUUAAACAUAUAAUCUAUAUUUUAAAUUUUUAAUCUAAUAUGAUAUUUAUUUUUAGUUAUUGAUACUUUAUUUAAUGAAAUAUUGAAAUACAAUUUAGAACUAAAGAUAUUAAAAAUAAUAAAUUGAAGGAGAUAAAAAAAGUAAUAAAAAAAAUCUAAAAAUACUCUCGCUGAAGUUAUUAAGUGUUGUUAAUCUAAUUGUUGAAUAUGCACACAAAAUUUUAGAUAAACAUCUGCUUAUAUUUUAAAAAGUAUAUUAUACGUUAAUUAAAUUUAUCAAAUAAAUAGAUUCACGCACUUCUUCUGUUCUCUUUCUCCACACACACACAAUUUUUUUAGUUAAUAUAUUAAAUUAAAAAAAAUUAUAUUCUAACUAGUUACAACUUAAAUUUAUGAAAAACUCUCCAAAACGUAUCUUGUUAAUAAAUUUAAAAAAAAGUUUCCAGCCCCUCAUUUAUUUUGACUAACUUUAUUUGCUUUCCACAAGACCACAGGUCCACAACUAACACUUACGUUUUCAACAAUGAAAAAAGAAGUCGUAAACCCUUUAAUAAAGGAAAUGAUAUUUUAUAAAAUAAUUGUAAUAAAAUUGAUUAUUAUUUACACAAGACUUAAUAUUCUAAGCGUCAAAUAUCCAUAUAGAUUAUGAGUAUAAUAACAAUUUUAUACUGUUGAUUUGAAAUAACACUUUAAUAUUAUAUUAUUCAUUUUAAAUAAUAAAUUAUUUCUUGGUAUCAAUAAUAUGCAGUUAAAUUCUUACUUUGUUAUUUUUAUAGACUGUCAAUGGUACGGGAGUAAGCUUCUCACUUUCUCUGUCGGGAUUUUUUCAGUCACAUUCUUAAUUGGCGCCCGACAAUCAAAUGAAAAGUUACUUGCGGAAACGCACAUACUUUUCAGACUGCACGUAGACAACAUCAAGAACAAAAGAAAUCAAAUAACCCAAUCUUUCAUGAAAUUUUUUAAACAUAAACAAUUUCACUUUUUUUCUUUCUUUCUAAAGUAUAGUAAAUAUACGUCACAUAGAUACGAACACAUUAUUAUGAUUUACAUAAAUUGGGUAACAAAUUGAGAGAGAAUAUAAUUUAUUUAAUUAUAUAUGUUAUUAGUUUUACAACCCCCUGCAAACGCAGCUGGUUGAAAACUACAUGAUCAUGCAGCGAGGGCGCAGUGCUUUACAACUGUUAAAAUACACCGAUAUUCAUAAACAAAAGAAAAAAGACAAGAAACCAAUCCCUAUCAUAGAAAAUUAUAAUGAUUUAACAUUUUUUUUAUAAAAGACAAAACGCCGAAACUUUGCUUCCAAUUCUUCUCUUUCGUGCAUCGCGAAGCGCUUCUUCUUCCUUUUCUAUCGCUUUCUUUUAUUCGUUGCACAUAUUCUUCAUAUCCUACAAAAAAUAUGAACAUAUUAUUACCAGUGUCGGUCAAUGUCAUGAUGAAGUGGUCCCUUGACUAAAACCAAACGAGAAAAUAUCGUUUUCCAUAUCAGACUAGAACCUCGAUAGGGAUCACGAGGGUUUGGUACUCGUUUUUUGGGAACAAUUAAUAUAUGGANNNNN
This 47660-nucleotide long non-coding RNA is filed under the name Glycine max (soybean). Its description in RNAcentral is "long non-coding RNA (GMAX_LNC002335)". The record is from RNAcentral. Lineage: Eukaryota; Viridiplantae; Streptophyta; Magnoliopsida; Fabales; Fabaceae.